AUAAGGCUUGCCCCUUCUAUCCUCUCUCACCAACGGGUUAAAAACCCUAACCCUAAUUUAGAUUUUCUAUUUAUACGCGAUAGCGAAAGCCAACUUCGCAGCCGAAGCCAAAUCUUCGGGUUCGCUUUUUCUUUAUAAUUCAAUCAUCUUUUUUAUCUCAAGUUCCUAAUCUUUACUCUUCCUCCCAUAGGCACAUCAGGUUCGGCGUUGAUAAACUUUUGAAGCUUUGAUUUUUUUUUUUUUAAUUUUUAAUGAUAAAAAAGGGGAGGCGGUGAUGUUGAAAACUACCUAUUUUAUGAAGGGUUUUUCGCCCAUUUUGUGAUUAGAAAAUCACCAAUGGAUCCUUCUGAGCCUUCUUCUCUCAUUUUCUUCCCUCUCAACUCCCAACUUUAGUUUUUGAUGAGAAAGAAAAAUUGAUAGGUUAAUUUUGUUAGAGUCUGAUUUAGAGCCAUUGAGAUGAUGAUAUCCUUUUCUGAAAAAUAUAAUGUCGACUAAAAAAAAUCAGACUACAAUUAUCUGAUCACUGGGCUCUCUAUCUCCCUUUUUCUCUUUAUUUUCGUGUCAAAUUUGUUUUGCUUCUUUUUUCUCUCAUUGUUUUGAUAAUAUUUACUUUCAUUUUCAAGGUUUUUCUUUUUUUAAUAUUAUUUAAUCCAUUUUUUUUAAUAAAAGACAAUACAUCUUUUAAGAUAAUUUUUUGUUUCAUUUCGGACGAGUAGAAACAAUAGGAAGAACAACAAAGAUUUUAUAUCUCGUACAUCACUUAGAUGAACUUUAGAGAGUCGCAUAAAAAAGAAUGAAGAAAUGGAAUAUGAAAGAGAACACAAAAAUAAAUAAAUAAUAAGGAAUUGGAUUUUAUUCGCACUGUAGCUGAGAUGAGUUCGUUAAUUCUAUCUUUGAUAUCUUCUAGAUCAUAUUUUUGGUGUAUGAAAUAUUAACAUUCUUUUUUAUUUUAAAGAGAACAAAUUAAAAAAAAAAAGAAAGAUAAUGAAAAAUUUUUUACUGCAUUAUUUAUUAUUUUUAUUAUAUUAUAAUUAUAAUAGAUUCUUUCCUUAUCUAAAAAAUAGAAAAAAUAAAUAAAUAAAGGAUUUACUUUAAGAUAACUAGUUAAAUAAGUAUGUAUUAUGUCAAUAUAUAUCAAUUAAUUUGUAAAGUAAAUAUUCAUACAAAUUAGUCAUAUGUAGAAAAUCAUAUAUGAACUGAUGACACGAGGGUUUUCAAUCGUUUGCUUUACCGAGUUAUCUCGAUCAUUAUUGAUGGAUUAUCUUAUAAUAUUAGAUGAUUUGGGUUUAUGUCAAUUAAAAAUGAAAACAAAAACAAUGAAAAAAUAUUAAAUUAAAAGGGUAAUUUCUUAGAUAUUUCAAAGGAAGAUUUUAUAAAUUUCAAUAUGAGUAAUCAUUCAAAUAGGUAUUCUUUACUCAAAGGUGUUGAUUUUUACAUAUUUCAUACAUAAAUAUAUAUAUAUAUAUAUAUAUAUAUGAGACAAGACUUUGUGACAAGAGAAUAAAAUUCUACUAGAACACGCUUGUAAAAUGAAAAAAAAAAUAGAAUGAAUGAGAAACUUUAAAUUACUAACAAAAAAAAGAAAAAGAUAAAAUAAAUAGAUAGCAAACUAGCUUUUUAAGGUUGGGGAUGGAGGAACUUGAGAACAAAAUUCAAAUGUAAAACUUGGAUUUUAAUUUUUUUUUUUAAAAAAGUAUAUACUAAUAAUCAGUUGAAAGUUGACUCAAUUGAGUUUAAACAGCCACUUUUUUCAAGCUUUAUGUAAGUCAUCUUAUUGAGAUAAAAACUACUUAAUACAUUAAGAGGUUUAUGCGUACUACUUACAAUAAGAGGUUUAUGCAGGGGUUAAAUAAGCGCUUUUUAGUAAAUCAAAUAUUACUUAUUAAUUUCCCUUCUAAAGACGUAUGGAAAACAAUGUGUAUAAUCUUUAGAAAACAAUGUGUAUAAUUAUGAUUGGUACUGAAAACACUACAGGAAGAGAGUCCUGGUUUUUUGAAUAAUUGAAACUUUGCUAUGUAUACUUGAACUGCGGAAUUGGACUUCCCAAUCUUAGCUGAACAUUGACAUGAACAAUGUUUGAAGCUGCAUUCAGUAUCUCCUUCUCUGCCUCCUUCGCCGCUUCCAUAGCAUCACUGUAAUGAGAAAAGAAAAGAAAUUGGUAUUCGAUAUAUAUAAGGAUAUCAAUUUGUAAAAUAAAGUAUUUCGCAUCCUAAAAGUCAAUAUACAUAGGAAUGUUCGAUAGGUAAUGUAGAGCAUUCUGCAUCCUCAUUCUUAUAUUUUUAUAUUAUAUCUAUUAUCGUAUUUAUAUUUAAUAAAUAUUUUAAAUUUAUUCACAUUCUCAUCCCCGCAAAUAUUUAAUUUAAUAAGCAAAUAUUUAAUUUAAUGAAUAUGAGUACUCCCAUUACCCUUAAACGUUUAAAAAAAUAAAAACUCAAAUUUAUUUUUAAAAUUUUUUUUAUCUUGUAUAUUUUGAUAUUUUUUUAUAAAUAUAUAUUAAUAUAUUUUUCAAUAAAAAUAUACUAAUUCUAAUUAAUCUAAUAAAAUAAUUUAUAUUUACAAAAAAAAUCUAUUUACUAAAAAUGUAUAUAAAAUAUAUAUAUAAGGUACAAAUACGAGAUGAGUAUUAUAUUAUCCAUUUUUGUAUCCAAUAAAAAUUUUAAAUCAUACAUAUACUCAUACCGAUCCUUGUAAAUACAAUAUAAUACACAUUCUCAUCCCCAUUCAGAUAAAAAGUCUAAUUUCUCAUUAAAUACGAGUAAAAUUAAUAUCUUUAUAUAUAUACAUAUAUAUAUAUAUAUAUACACACACAUACACAUAUAUAUAUAUAUAUAAGAUAAACUUUAUAAAUAUACCCAAUGAUUAAAGCCAAAACAAAAAUACCCUAAAGUUUAAAAUAUGACAUUUAACUAUUUUAUAAUUUGUUCCAUUAUUUUUUAACUUAAAUCUAUUACUUUUUUGUUUUUUUUUUAAUUUUUUUUUUCUUCAUCUAAAUUCAUACUUUCUCCUUCAAAUCAGACUAAUUCUCUCUCUAAAAUCAAACAAAACCAGACAUUUUAAAUAUUAUUUGAAUGUUAUUUUUUAAAAUAUUGUUGUAUAAAUCAACUAGAUCGAGGUUUAAAUUCAAUCGCCCAUUAUGAGAUUCACUUUUUUACAAAAAAAAAAAGCAAAAGUCAUUCCAUUAAUUCUAUAAACAGCCUCUUGGGUUACAAUGCCUAUUAGUUCCACUGGGCAAACAUUAAGCCACUGUCAAGUCUCCACAUUUUUCACUGCCAUUUUAACCAACUUGUGCAUCACCUCAUUCGCUUCUCUCUGAACAAACAUUGCCUUCCAGUUCUGAAACUUGGUUAGACCAUAUUGGACCUCCAUUAUUUGGUUUCCAAUUAAAGACAAAUUAUGUUCUUGUUGGUCAGUGAUCUGGCCAAUGAUUCCUUGCGCGUCUUCCUCCAGCACAAUGUUUGUCCAUCCCAUGGCAAAAGCAAACUCAGCCGCUUUUGAGAUAGCAAUUCCCUCUAUUAUUAUUGCAUCCCUAAUUCCUAGUACAAGUAUGGACACUGCUCCUAAGACCCUCCCCUAACAAUUCCUCCUACGUUCCUCUCUGUAUUUAAAGCACCAUCAAAGUUUAUUUUUACCUCAUGUUCAGCCGAUGCCUUCCACAUUGCCUCUCGUCGUAUGAUUUGAAUUUAGAGAGAGAAUUAAUUUGAUUUUAGGGAGAAAAAAUAAAUUUUUAGAGAGAGGAUAUGAAUUUAGACGAAAAAAAAAAAGAAAAAAAAAUUAAAAAGAAACGGAAAAAAUAACAGAUUUUGGUAAAAAAACAAUAUAACAAAUUAUAAAGUAGUUAAGUAUCACGUAUUAAAUCUAGGGGAUAUUUUCAUUUCAACCUUUACCAUAGGGUUUAUUUUUAAAAUUAAUCCACAUAUAUAUUGAACAAACCGCCAAAGGAAAAAUGAAAGAGAGCUUGUACCGAAUCAUGAUAUCCGGGGGCAUGCUAACCUCAACUUCCAGUAAUAUCUUCCCUUGUAACAUGUGAUGAGUUAUGCGUUCAACCAUAAAUUUCUGCAAAAUUCAUGUAUUCAACAAAAAAAUGUAUUAAAAAUGUUUUAAGAAUAAAGUAGCAAGUUCUGCCCCAAGCAAUAGUGUGGUGUUGGCUUGAAUAACAGGCAAAAAUAACAAGAUGAAAACAAAAUUCAUGAUUUCCCUUCCAACAAUGGUUAAAGUUUAGAUCUGGAGCUUUUUUUACCAAACCACAUUUCACCUUGCUACUCCGACUUCAGUGCUUAACACCUUUAUCCACAGCAUAGUUCAUUUAUAAUUGAGCCUACACUUAAAACACUCAACAAAAUGAGAAGAGGUACCUCUGGAAACUUUGAUGAAAAUAUGCUAGAAACAAUUGCUUCAACAUUUUCCUCCCUGGCAGAAAUAUUAUUAUUCCGUUCCUCGAUUCUCUUCAAACUUUCUUUCUGGUCCAUUACGUCAGGGGAGAACUCUAUAUAUGCAGGAUCUACACUUUCCAAAAGGUAAAAAGAAAGUUGAUCAGAACAAAGACGCCGACAACUGGUGAUGCAAAGACAGUUCUUGCAUCAAUUUUACAGUCCAAUAACCAGUAAUCUCUUCAGCAUGGUAUCAGAUAUCUAUGCCUAAAACCACAAUAUUAUAAAGGGCAAAAAAAAAAAGUUAAAUUAAAUGCUAAUCGCCAUUAAAGUACAUCUUAGCUCAGUAUUUACACUGGCCAAAAAUCACUUGCUCCAAGAUCAAUUGUUUCUCCAUACCACAGGUUAAAUUAUCAAGCUGAAAAUAGAAUAAAUGGUCCAUGGAAGUCAGAAGAAAUUAUCAACAAAAGACAAAUGAUGUAAUUACCUAGAGGGAAAGUUCUUUUCUUCUUUCCCUUAACAAUCAGUUUUCUUUUAAAGAUGGUCAUCUUUCAACACAAAAUAGUGAAAUUACAGCUCUCAUCUUAAGAAAUUUGUUGCAACCAAUUCAGUGAUGAAGUAACCAAGUAAUGUACCUAUGUGUAUGAAAACUUCAGUCACUUCAGGGUGGGACUCAUGAAUUUGAUGACGAAUGUUUUCACCAAUGCCAUGUGCAGCACUAACACUAGAAAAGGGAUUGACCUACAUGUCAAAAAUAAGGGGAAAAUCACAAAGGGCAUCAGGAAAUCUCAAAUAGGCAGUUUAACAGUCAAGCAAAAAAACCAACAAUAUAAAGUACUAGUAGCAACAAACGCUAUCCGACUAUUUACGGUUAGCUAUAUGAAUCACAUUGUUUCAUUCUGCUCUAUUAAACAUCAUAUCCUCAGCAAGCUUAACAAAAGUGAGGUAGUUUUUAUACUUUCUAAUCAUAUUCUCCUUGCGAUUUUCACUGGCACUAGAAAAUGUACCAAAAACUCACCACGAUAUGUACAUCAAGGUAUAGAUUAGAACCAGCUCUCCUUGCUCUUAAACGAUGGCAUCCCUACAGACAUUUGUUAAAAGAGUACUUAGGGAGACUGCCAAGAAAGGAAAAGGCAUAACUUAAUUGUAUAUUUCACCAGUAGUAACAAGCCAACAGAUCACAAUAUCAAAUACCAGGUGCAUGCAUCNNNNNNNNNNNNNNNNNNNNNNNNNNNNNNNNNNNNNNNNNNNNNNNNNNNNNNNNNNNNNNNNNNNNNNNNNNNNNNNNNNNNNNNNNNNNNNNNNNNNNNNNNNNNNNNNNNNNNNNNNNNNNNNNNNNNNNNNNNNNNNNNNNNNNNNNNNNNNNNNNNNNNNNNNNNNNNNNNNNNNNNNNNNNNNNNNNNNNNNNNNNNNNNNNNNNNNNNNNNNNNNNNNNNNNNNNNNNNNNNNNNNNNNNNNNNNNNNNNNNNNNNNNNNNNNNNNNNNNNNNNNNNNNNNNNNNNNNNNNNNNNNNNNNNNNNNNNNNNNNNNNNNNNNNNNNNNNNNNNNNNNNNNNNNNNNNNNNNNNNNNNNNNNNNNNNNNNNNNNNNNNNNNNNNNNNNNNNNNNNNNNNNNNNNNNNNNNNNNNNNNNNNNNNNNNNNNNNNNNNNNNNNNNNNNNNNNNNNNNNNNNNNNNNNNNNNNNNNNNNNNNNNNNNNNNNNNNNNNNNNNNNNNNNNNNNNNNNNNNNNNNNNNNNNNNNNNNNNNNNNNNNNNNNNNNNNNNNNNNNNNNNNNNNNNNNNNNNNNNNNNNNNNNNNNNNNNNNNNNNNNNNNNNNNNNNNNNNNNNNNNNNNNNNNNNNNNNNNNNNNNNNNNNNNNNNNNNNNNNNNNNNNNNNNNNNNNNNNNNNNNNNNNNNNNNNNNNNNNNNNNNNNNNNNNNNNNNNNNNNNNNNNNNNNNNNNNNNNNNNNNNNNNNNNNNNNNNNNNNNNNNNNNNNNNNNNNNNNNNNNNNNNNNNNNNNNNNNNNNNNNNNNNNNNNNNNNNNNNNNNNNNNNNNNNNNNNNNNNNNNNNNNNNNNNNNNNNNNNNNNNNNNNNNNNNNNNNNNNNNNNNNNNNNNNNNNNNNNNNNNNNNNNNNNNNNNNNNNNNNNNNNNNNNNNNNNNNNNNNNNNNNNNNNNNNNNNNNNNNNNNNNNNNNNNNNNNNNNNNNNNNNNNNNNNNNNNNNNNNNAGGCAAUGAUUUCAGGAACUUUCUCUAUAAUCCAUCAAUCACUCUCCCUAGGGUGUUUCCCUCGAGUGAAAGUUGUCCAUACUUCCACCAAGUAUGAAGGACAAGUCUACAUUCCUGAGGUUAAUUACCUGCUGAUGUUGGCUUGUGUUGGGGUUACUGCUGGUUUCAAGACCAGUAACAAUAUCGGCAAUGCAUAUGGUAACCCACACAACUUUGCAUAAUUUACACAUCUGUUCAAUGUGCAAAUACACGCACACACAUACAUACAUAUUAGUAAUGACUCUUGACAUCAUCUUUCUAUAGGGAUUGCGGUGAUAUUUGUAAUGAGUCUGACAUCAUCUUUGUUGGUUGUCAUCAUGAUAAUGAUAUGGAAAACCAACAUCCUUUUGUAAUUGCCUACGUUCUUACCAUCGGUUCCGUGGAGCUAAUCUAUUUGACUUCUGUUCUGUACAAAUUUGAUCAGGGAGGAUACUUGCCAUUGGCCUUUGCUGCAGUUUUAAUUGCAGUGAUGUAUAUUUGGAACAAUGUUUAUCGGAGAAAGUACUAUUACGAGCUCGAUCAUAAGGUUUCUUUUGAAAAGUUGAAGAUGAUAACUAGAUAACGCCAAAUUUCAGUAAGAAUUCCAGGACUUGCCAUGUUUUACUCAGAGCUUGUUUCAUGGUAUCCGUCCCUCUUCGAGCAUUAUUUUGGAAAAUGCUAUCAGCAUUGCACUCUGUCCUUUUCUCAUCCUCCAUCAAAUCACUUACCAAUUUAGCAAGGUUUCAAUUGAAGAAAGAUUUCUUUUUCGAAGAGUGAACCAAAGAAGCCAAUGUCUUCCGUUGUGUCGUUAGAUAUGGGUAUUACAGAUGUGCACAAUGAAGCGAGACAGUUUUGAGAAGACUUUUCUUAGAAAGAUUGAAAGGAGUUUAUCCAAAAAGACACUUGGUUAACUCAAAUGCAAGCCUAAUAUGGGGCAACAAACUGAAAAGGGGCCGAAUUGGAAGAUGAAUUUGCAGAAACAACAGGAUGAAACAUCGAUCAAGAAUAUAAUGCAAGUGGGAGAAGGUGAUCAAGAAGAGAAAAUACGUAAAGAUAUUGAAUUAGUGGAGCAAGCAUGGCAAGCUGGUGUUGUUCACUUGGUAGGUGAGACUGAUGUGAUUGCAGGCAAAGGAGCUGGUAUAGGAAAGAAGAUUUUGAUAGAUUAUGCUUACAAUUUUCUAAAGAAACUUUUGAGGCGAACUGAUAAAGUGUUCGAAAUUCCUCACAACCAGUUGCUUAAAGUUGGUAUGACUUAUGAGCUUUAGAACAUUUGAUGGAAUGUGGGGUACUGGACUUGAGGAAUACAUGGUUGCAGCUCCAUUGAAGACCUGAAAAAACUUGUUACUUGUUUAUCCUUCCAGUAGUCUAAAGGGAGAAAUUAGGAGUAAAAGAGUAGUUCUUGUUUUAAAUAAUAAAUAAACUCCACAAGGCAAAUGGGAAGCAUGUUAAUUAUGGGGUAAUAUUUAUAUGUACUUUGAAAUGUUUUACUUAUAUUGUAAAUAUAUAUUGUAUGUGUGCAAUAGUAUUAUGAAUAUCAAUCCAGUUUUAUCAAUUUACAAGUUACUUUAAGCAAGAUUUGAAUAUCGAAACAGCGGUCCAUCUUUUUAUUGUUAAACUAUUUUUUUUUCAUGUGUUUUGCAAGUAAUUUUCCCAUGAAAAAUUUGUAUUAACUUCUUUUUUAUAUUAAAAAAUGAAUGAAUACGAACUCAAUUCUUUAAAUAAAAAAUAUAUAAAUCAAAUCAUUAAGUUAAAUAUUGAACCAUGCUUUUAAUUUAUUAAUAUCAAUAAGAUUAUGUAGGACAAAAUUAACACAACUCAUUGAUAAAAAAACAUUGAAAAAAAAGAAAUAAAAAACUAAAUAUAAGAUAUAUAUCAACAACUUCUUUAAUUUGAGUUAAAAAAAGUAAACUAUUGUCAUCUAUGAAGAAUAUAUGUAUAUUAAACAAAUAGUAUUUUAUAAAUAUUAAAACAAAAUAAAGAAAAAAUUGUAAAUUAAUCAAAUUUACUAAAUAUUUGCACAUUGUUUGAUUCGGGGAUCAUUUGAAUCCCACUGACAUUUCGUUUCAGUGCAGUUUUAAUCCUUUUUUUAUUCAAUAACACUAUUAUAGUGUUUGGAGAGUGAGGCACGUUUGCCUCCAGUUCUCUACCGGAUGUUUUAGGUCCAACAAGAAUAAUUUCAUCUAUUACGUGUCGUUCUUCCAACUUUGCCCAUAAUUUUUCAUUUUUUUUUUCUAUUUUUACCUUUAAAAUUUAAUAGUUUUUGGACAAAAUAUCGAUACAAAUUUUUUUGUUUUUCAUUUUUAUUUUUUAUUUAAAAAAUAUUGAAAUAACUUUUGUGAUUUACUGUAAUAAAUAAAAUUUAUUAUUAUAUAAUAAAUUAAUAAAUACUAUGUAUUAAUGUUUUGAUUGAAAAUAAAAAUUUAAGAUUUUAAAUAAUAUAAAUAACAUUAAAAAUGCAUAAAAAUAAAUUAUCAAUACAUUUUUAGAAUAAAAUUUUUAAUGAUAAUUUUUUGAUUCAAAUGCUGUUAAUUUAGCUAUGUUUUUUCGAUACAAAUACUGUUAAUUUAGUGACGUUUUAUCAUAUAAACACCACUAUAUUGCGAUAUUUUUUUAAUAUAAACAUCACUAAAUUAACAGUAUUUUUCAGAUACAAACGUUUUAAAAUAACGAUAUUUUAUAAAAAAUAUCGUUAUUUUCUCUUAUAUGUGUAUAACCGAUACUCUUACUAGUAUUUUUUGCAAACGUCGCAAAUCUUUUAUUAACUUUCAUAAACACUGCUAAAUGUUAAAAAAAAAUCACUAAAAAUCUAAACUUCUGUAGUGGUUAUUGUUGCUUUUAUAUUUAAAUAUAUAUAUAAUUAUUGAUUUUAAUCUUAUCAUUACAAUAAUAAAUUUUACUUUCACCAUAAUUUUCAAUCUUACCAACCAUACAAAUGGACCCUGAGAUAAAUAUAUUAAAAAAGUAAGUUUAAUCCCUAUUUAUCACAAAUUUAUUUGUAGCUGUCUUAUUAAUAUGUUAUCAUUAAAAAAUUGUUGCAUAAAAAUUUAGUGAUAUUCUUAUUCUAGAAUUUUGCAAGGAAUGAGAGAAUCCAUGAUAUUUUAUGUAUGUAUGAUUGCGCAAAAGUAAAAUUUUAAUUAAAAUAUCUAAUAGUUCCUUAGGUUUUGGAAAAUGGUAAAGUUUAAUAAUUAAUUAAUGUCACAUCCUGGGUGUUAUUAUGGGUUUUUAAUGUUAUUCUUUUUAGCAUUGUGUUAACAAUAUGGAAUGAAAUAAAAUAAAAUAUAUUUAAAAAAAACCUAUUUGUAAUAUAUAAAUUCAUAUCAUAUAUAUUAUGUUUAAAUAAGUAAUAUAGCAAACAAAAAUUGAUAUAGUUUAACAGAAUAAUAAGUUUGUGUUCAAUAAUGUAACUAAAAUAAUUUGUUGUUAAAAACAAAAUAAUUGUCUAUUAUUAAGUUAUCCAAAUCUGUUAUGGUAAGAAAGACUCUGGUUUCAACAAUUUAAUUUUAUACUUUUGUAAUAGUAAUGCAAAAAAAAAAAAAAACGGUAUUAGUAAGGUCCAAAUAACAAAAAUAAUUACGUUUUUCAGGUGAUAGAAAAUAAGAAAUUUUUUUGGUAAUCUAAAUGGUCUCUUGCAUUGAAGGCUGGAACUUUGUGGUUAGUAAAUGAAAUUCAUUGUUUUGAGUUGAGGAAUAACAAAGAAUAAUGUCAAAUUCAAUGAAAAAGGUAUCUGAUUGACAUAAAAGCUACCUUUUGGCAUUCUAACAUAAAACUUAAAACGUUUGGGGAAAUAGAGUUUAAUAAUAUAUUUAUUAUUAUUAAUUAGAUUUAAAAAGGAGGAUAGGUUGGCUUGAAUAAGUAAAGCUAACCAAUAGAAAUACAAAACAAUGUCCUGUUGUAAAAAAAAAAAAUGCGGAUUUACCGUGUUAAAUGUCACAAUUCUAGAGUCCUGCAAAUAAAAAUAAUAUAUUGUUAGAUGUAUGGAUCCCAAAUAAAGAUACAGUUUGAUCUUUUGGGUGCAUGCUUGACAAUAUUUAUUAUGCCAUGGACAAAUGAAGAAGAGAUUAGACAUCUAAAAUAAUGUCACUCAAGGACAGCCUUUGUGCUUCUUCAAUUAUAUCAUUCAUCAACUUGUUUAGUUGUUAAUAGAACCACAUUCCAACAUGUUAAAAUAUAUAGUGGCAAAAUUGGUGAGUGCCGAUAUCCCCCUUUGUAUAUAAAUUCCAUCCCACCCUCACAUUUGGGAGCUAUGGCUCUUGAUCGAUCUUCACAUACCCUAUAUAUAUAUAUAGCCCUUUCAUAUUCCCCAACCCCUAAUUUGUCUGUCAGAGAAAAGAGAUAAAAACAGGGCUUGGUAUUGGCGUUCCUUGAUUUUUUAUAAAAUUUUCUUAUGCUUGAAGCUUCAUUGUUCUUUAUAUCCGGAUGUCUAGUUUUGUACAAGAAACUAUUGAAGAAACCCACGAGGAUGAGGAGCUGGAAUCAAAUGAUUAUGACACCCAUGAGAAAGCUUCUGAAGGGAAAAAAACGCUCGUUCCAAAAGCAGCGCAGAUACGAUUCCCUGGACUUGGAAUCCGAGCCGUGGUUCAGAACCUUCACGGCCAUAGCUCUCAGGUAUGUAUAUAUAUAUAUAUAUAGAAUGUAGAUGAUAUCCGCGCGCCCCCACUUUCUUUUCACUUACCUUCGAGGCCAAAAAAAACACAAAAGAAAAGAUAAAAAAAACUUUUUAACAUUGAAAAAUAAUUUCAUUUUUUUAAUGUAAUGUAAUGUGAGUUAAUGUGAAGGGUGUUGAAUGGUGGGUGAUCCUGCAACUAGCAUUCCAGAGCAAUGGGGUAGUAUACGGAGAUAUAUGUUCAUCGCCACUUUAUGUUUAUGCAAACCCCUUUGGGAAUGGUAUAUAUCACAGCGAUGACAUAGUGGGAGUUGUUUCUUUGAUCUUCCAUACCAUUACUCUCAUCGCUUUGAUCAACUACGUCUUCAUUGUCUUUCGAGCCAAUGAUAAUGGUGAAGGUAAGUAAGAAUAUUAUUAACAACUUUAAUAAUUGAGCUCUGAUGUGCUACGACUAGUACUAAAGUAAGUUGACUUUUACUAUAGAUCAUAGCAAACUGUAUCUUUUAUUGAUAUGUUACUAGCCAAAUACCAAUAAUAUUUUGUGUGUUUGAACAACAUAGCAUGGGUUAGAAAUUUGGGAGCCAAAGAGAAGAUGAUCUCAUAUUGUAUUAGUCUUAAAAAAAAUAAUCACGCGUGAUUAACGUACGUUAGCUUGAACAAUCUGAGAGAGAACUUUACUGGUUAAGUUGCUGAGUUCUUUUUCUUCAUGUUGAAUUAAAAAAUCCAGUUGACGUUGAAUUACAAAAUUAAUCGGUUCCUUAAAUUCCACAGAAAAGUACGUAGUUAAAUUAAAAGAAAAAAAAAAACUAUUUGUAGGCCAUAUAAAAGUUUGGUGGGGGGGGAACCUUCUUAAACCUAUGUUCAUCUAACUACCCAUGAAUCCACCGACAGAAACUACGUUGCCGAUGUAAUUCUUAAUGAACGGAGCAUUAUUUAAUGGCAGUUUAAGAAAAAAAUCAGAAGUAUAAAAAAAGAAACUUUUGACUUGCAUUAUUUAUUCUAGAAAAGUAUUAGUAUACAUAUUUUUUUAAUAUUUAAAAUUAUCAAAAUUUAAAAUUUGAAAUUAAAAAUUUAAUAUUUUAUCAAUAAAUCGUAUAGUUGUUAACGCUUUAUCAUUAAUUUUUCAUUACCUUCCUUUUCAAUUUGUUUUGUGAAUGUGCUCUGAUCUUCACAAGCAUGUUGAAACAUAGUUAAUGACUUUUUUUGUGAGACUUCAAAAAAACAAAAAAAGUGUGCCGCAAUAUUCCACUAUAACAGUGGUGGAGUCAUCAUUCUUUGUUAUGUAAUCAGGUUCACUACUAAGGUAUUAAAAACAAAUUAAAAUAGAUGGAAUCAAGAUUCAAGAUCUAAGUCUUAUGAUAAUUUUGCUAUGCAUAUACUAUAAUCCAAUCUCACUUUCAGCAAAUUAAAAUGGACGGGAAGAAUUAUGUCGUUAAUUGACGUUUUUCAGGAGGGACAUUUGCCAUGUACUCGCUAAUGUGCCGAUAGGUGCGAGUUUGGUCCCUAGUCAAGUAGCAGAGGAUCGUGGUGUAUCCAAUUUCAAGCUGGAAUUGCCCAACAAGAGUAUUGAAAGGGCAUACAAAAUCAAGUCUAUGUUGAAGAACAGUCAGUUAGCCAAAAUUUUUCUCUUGAUCAUCAUGAUGCUUGGCACUUCAUGGUCAUUGGCGAUGGUGUCCUCACCCCUUGCAUGUCAGGUUAACUAUAUUUUUUGUACUUUCAUACCAUUCAUUGAUAUAUCUAUAUAUAUAUAUAUAAAUAUAUAUAUAUAUAUAAUGGCUUAUUUGUUUUAUCAAUUAAAAGCAUUUAAUUGCUAUACAUAUUUUAACACUUAAUUGCUGUUUUGUCAGCUGUGGAUGGCAUCAAGGAAGCUACAGCUGCAGUGACAGAGGGUAUAUGUACUUAUUUUAUUGCAUCUAACUCUUCCCCUGCCAUGAAAUUGAAAAUAAAACUGAUUUGAUUUUUGUCUUUUCUUGAAACAAAAGGCAAGCUGCUCAUAAUAAAGAUAUUUGGUGCAAACAGAUAGGAUUGUUUGGAUGUCAAUAGCUAUCUUGCUCUGCCUCUUCAUGGUUCAAAGAUUUGGAACCUGACAAAGUGAGCUACAGCUUUGCUCCCAUAAUUUGGGUUUGGUUUCAUUCACUGGUGGAAUAGGAGUUUACAACUUCAUCAAAUUUGAUCCAACAAUCAUCAACAUAAACCCAAAAUACAUUGUACACUACUUUCGGGGAAAAAAUGAUGCAUGGGUCUCCCUAGGUGGGGUCGUUCUUGCUAUAUCAGGUUCCAAAAUUUUGCUCCCUUAGUAAUUCAAUUUAACUUUUUUUAUUGAAGGAGUUGUUAAAUAUUACUAGUUACAAACUUACGCUUCGAUACACUUCGAUGCAGGGACAAAAGCAUUGUUUACUGAUGUUGGCCAUUUCAUAGUUCGUUCCAUACAUAUAAGCAUGGGCACUGUGAUCUACCAAGCUCUGUUACUGGCCUAUAUUGGACAGGCCUCCUUCCUUCGUUUAAGUGAAAAUAGAAGUCAAGCCCAGGGAUACCCAAUGUUCUUCUAAUUUGACUUUUCUUUGUAUAUAUAUCUUACUAAGGUGGCAAGUUGUGACUUGUGAUAUGCAGGCCCUUUGUAUUGGCCAAUGUUUGUGGUGUCUGUGGCUGCUGCAAUUAUAUCAAGUCAAGCAAUGAUUUCAGGGACUUUCUCUAUAAUCCAGCAGUCACUCUCGUUGGGGUGUUUUUCUCGUGUCAAAAUUGUUCACACAUCAGCCGGAUAUGAAGGACUGUAUUCCUGAGGAGAAUUACGCUGAUGCUAGCUUGUGUUGGGGUUACUAUAGGUUCCAGGACCACAGAAAAGAUUGCCAAUGCAUAUGGUAAUACUCAAGACUCUGGUUAUGCUUUUAACUUAUAUUUAAUUCACAUUAAUACAAUUAAUUAUAUUUUUUUCAUUUUGCAUCGGUCAGUCUUCUAAUUACCUGAACUUAAGCAUUAAAAUUAAUAAGAAGUAACUGCAUACCGGGGUUGCGGUGGUGUUUGUAAUGACUCUAACAUCAUCCUUGUUGGUUCUCAUCAUGAUCAUGAUAUAUAAAACCAAUAUACUUUUUGUAAUCGUUUAUGUUCUUCUCAUUAGCUCUGUGGAGUUAGUCUAUUUGAGCUCUGUUCUCUACAAACUUGAUCAAAGAGGAUACCUGCCUCUAGCUUUUGUAGUAGGCCUGAUGACCGUGAUAUAUGUUUGGAACAGUGUAUACCGAAAAAAGUACAAUUUUGAGAUAGAUCACAAAAUCUCUCUUGAAAGGCUAAAGGAGAUAAUUACUGCCAACACAAACUUGUGCAGAAUUCCUGGACUUCCCAUGUUUUACUCAGAGCUAGUUCAUGGUAUUCCACCCAUUUUCGAGCAUUAUGUGGCAAAUGUACCAGUAUUGCAUUCGGUCCUUAUUUUUGUCUCCAUGAAAUCACUACCAGUUAGCAAGGUUGCAGCAGGAGGCUGAUUUCAUUUUAGAAGAGUAUAACUAAAGGAGUUAAAUGUCUUUCGUUGUGUUGUUAGAUGUGGAUAUACAGGUAUACGUAGUGAACAAUAAUCCUUUGAGUGGACUUUAGUUUGAAAGAUUGAAAGAGUUUAUCAAAGAAAAUAUAUGGUUGUCUCAUGCACUAGUUACUAAUGGAAAGACAGCUUAAAGGGUGAGGAAUCGGACAACAAACUACUUAACAGAGAGGAUGAAGAAGAUCAGAUCAAUGGGAGGCAAGUUGAAGAGGAUUGGCAAGAGACAGCGGAGAGAGAAAUAAGCAUAGUGGAUAAAGCAUGGGAAGCUGGUGUUGUACACUUGGUUGGUGAGAGUAAGGUGAUUGCCGGCAAAGGAGGAGGAAUAAGGAAAACGAUUUUAAUAGAUUAUAUAUGCUUACAAUUUCCUGAAGAAAACUUGAGACAAAGUGAAAAAGUCUUUGAUAGCCAAAAAUUUUUUACGUGGAAAUUAAUUAUUAUUUUGUAUGAAUUUAUAUUUAUAUAUUAUCAUACAAAUUGAAAAAGUGUUUGAUAAUUAAAAAUUUUUUACGUGAAAAUUAAUUAUUAUUUUAUAUGAAUUUAUAUUUGAUAUAUUAUCAUAAAUUUUAUAUCCAAAAAAUUCUUGUUUGGUAGCCAAAACACUAUGAAAUUGCAUUAGAUUAAAAAAAAAACGAAAACAAAAUUGAAUUAUAUAUGCUCAGUAUAAAGUUGUAGAUUUGGUGUGUUUCACUAACUCCAGCUUAAGUCAUUGGGCAUAUCUCAUUGGUACACGUCUCGUUAAGCCUAGAGGCUAGAUGUGACAGGCAGGGCUCAUAUAUGAAAUCAUGAUCGGCCAUAUCCAGCAGACGGCGACUCUUUCCAUGCAUACAUCAGUUAUGACACCAAGCAAGCAGGAGAAUUCCAUUACUUUAAUUUAGACCCUUGCUCCAACUCUAAUUCAUGAAGAAGAAAAGAGCGAAACUGACAAUUACCUUUUCCAAGGGAGAAAAUUUCAUUACAAAGUAAAGCAAUAGGUUUUCAAAAUUUAUUUGCUGUUUGAAAUCCUUGUAUGAUCUUCUUUUUUUUAAUUAUCAAGAAAAAGAAUCAAACACUAUCUUUUUCUUUUGUUUUUCUCUCAGGCUGUAUCUUUCAAACUGGUUGAACAAGAAGUUUCAAAUGAGAAACCCUUAGAAAAGCCUAAUUAUCUACUCUCUCCGUAAUUUCUUUAAUUCUCUAAUAUUAAUUGUCUGCAUCUGCCAACAACCUAUAAACAGAACUUCCAAAACCUUGACUUUGAAUCAUCUUCAGUUUGGCGAAAACCAUUCAAUCCAUUUGAAUAUAUAUUGUAUAUAUUAUUAUUAUUAAAAAAAAUUAAUGGCAGCAUGAUCGAGACCUGAUGGGGGUUUUCACGAUAAAACAAAAAUAUGUCCAAAUACUAACUGGGUUCCAGGAUCUAGAACUUUCAGAGACAAACCCUAACCUUGGAUAAUUAAGUAUGACUAUUUUGGAAAGGGCAAAUGAAGAAAUGAAAAAAAAGCUGUGUAGGUGCGGCCGGAGUUACUCUAUAUUUCACUGACCAGUAUGGUGUCAGAACACUUUGAGAAAUAUAUGGCAUAUAUAGAGCAGAAGCACAAGGCAUGUCUUAGCUAUUAACUCUAAUAAAGGAUUGAGGUGAUUUCUUUGUGGUAGAUCUAUUACGUAGCCAGUGUUAGAUCUAUUAUGUACCAGUGAGAAAGAAAACCUCGCUAUAAAGUUCAUGAAACAGAAGAUGAAAACCCUUACAAUCUUGACUGUAUUCUUCAGCAUUCCCAUUCUAUAUUUAUGCAUCAAACUAUAAAAGAUGCUAAUUGUAAUAGUUAAAGAAUUCAGCUCAAAAAUCGAAAUUAAGUAAGCAUAAACCAAACCCUAAAUUUUCAUACACAAAUUGCCAACUUAUGAACUAAUCAGAUAGGCUGCUGGUUGUCUAACAAAAUACCUGCAAUAAAAACUCAAUAAUUCACGGAGAAACUUCCAAGAACUAGCUUCAAUAUUUCUACCAGUUCUCUUAAGCUGAUAUUAGUCAAUCAGAAAACAAACUCUUGAUUUUAAGCCCACACAAGAAAUGUAAAAGAUUUACCACAUUUACCCCUCCAAACCCGUAGCCCUGAUGCCUUAAUUAUUAUCAUGCCUAUAUUAUCAGAAACAUAGAGUACUUAAUUUAAAAUUAAGUCUGGAAACAAGCAAUUACCACGCUUUAUAUCUUUCAAAACGGUUUGGAAAGGGAGCUAUUACUCCUCUCAAUUGAACUUAAAUGGGGUUGAUGGAACCGCAGAUGCAGAUCUCCUUGGCAGUUCACCUCUGUAAUUUGUUGUUUCUUCAUUUUCUUCGUGGUUUCCAGACCUAUUCUGGUUAGCUCUUUCUCCUUCCUGUUCCCUAUACCUAUGCAAAUACCUUUUUAAUUGCUCAGCGUAGUUAUCAAACCCUAGAGUUGCGAGUGCCCAACAAAUGUCAUCCCCAUUAACAGUUUUGCGCUUUCCUUGUGACACUUGUCAGAUGCCUCUCCCGUAACAAAGCUAAUAAACUCGGAUACACAUUCUUGCAUGGUUUCUUUAGCUUCUUUGGAGAUCUUUGCGUUAGGAGGUAGAAUCUGCUUCAUGAUUCGCCCAACGUUAGCUAUCGGAAGCAACCGAUCUUGUUCCUUAAUGAUGCCAUCCUCACCUGAGACAUCGCCGGCACCUUCAAAGCUGUACUUAUGGCCUUCUCUAUCUAUAACAAUGUUUAUUUUAUCGGUCAUAUCUGUAAAAUGUGAAGAUUAAGAGAAAUUAAUAUUUCGUUAAACUUAAACACGUCGUUUCUAAUUAUUAACUCGCAAAUAUAUAUAUAUAUAUUUAUGUAUGUAUGUUUAUGCGUGUGUAUAUAUAUAUAUAUAUGUAAAUGAUAAAAUGGUAAAGAUUGUUUCUCAUGAUGUGGCAAAUCGUAAUGCAAACUGGUCAACAUAUAGAAGACCCAAAGGCAGGCAAUUUUCCAUUGGUGGUGCGAGUUAGGGUUUUCCUUUAAAAUAUAUAUAUAAGUACUGUCCCUUACGGGACUUGUGGGAGCAAUCUAAACCUUGAAAGGUAUUGAGAAACUUAUCAAUUAUAUACAAUGGUCCCCCUUCUUGGUUCUUAACACUUAGUGCUCUCAAUAAGUUUCAAACUGAAACUUAAAAAAAUGCUGCAGAUUUGAAAUUUGUGGACUAAAUAAGGUUAAAAUAUUAAAAGAAUUCUUGAAUUUUAUCACUUUAUUUAGAUAAAUUUCUAUAUUUUUCUUGUAUUCAAAUAAGUUUUUUCUUUAAUUUGUAUUCAAGUAUGCCCUUAUUUUAAAUAAAAAAUUAAUGUAUAUUAAAGAUUUAUUUAGAUAUAAAUUAAAAGAUAAAGGUUUAUUUUUAUAUAAAUUAAAGUUUAAGAAUAUAUUUGGGGUGUAAAGUAAUUAAAGGUUAAUUAUUUAUUUUAGUGCAAUAAAAAUAUAGGUGCUUAUCUAAAUAAAGUAAUAAAAUUCAGAAUUUUUAUUAUUAUUUUAGCCUAAAUUAAAACAAUAAAGUUGAAUUACCGACUAUUUAGGUUUUUACAUGUGAUUAUUUUACUCUUCCAGACAAGAAAUUAUUUUUCUUUUUAAUUGUUAAAUUUAGGUAGGGUACUCCUGAAACUAUGGACUUCGUGUAUGAUGACCAAUUAAAGGCUACAAAUAUAGGGUCUACACGAGGCAUUUGGUGGAAGAUUGAUCCAUUGAUAAUCAAAAGAACUUCUUAUUUGAUGCAAGUUCAUUAACAGGUCAUUCAUCUUGAUGAUCAUUAUGCUUUGUUAAACCAUCCCCAAACCCAACACUAUGAAUACGACUUUGGUUUACUUAUUAAUUAAAGCAGCCUAUAGCUUUAAGCGUGAGCUUUAAGUUCUUAUUUAUUGAUUGAUUGAAAGUUGUUCACUUAUGUAAACUAAUAAUAAUUAUUAGAUGCUUAUUCAUUUGGAAUCAGACGUCAUUAUUCUUUUAGAUUUCAUUUGAAUGGAUGAUGAAAUUAAAAAUAGUAUUAAACGUUAUUAUAGUUGUUAUUAAAAAAAAAUGAUUGUAACAACAAUUAAUGAGAAAUUUAUAUUAAAUGAAUUUUAUUAGAGUUGACAUUUGGAUUCAAUUAAUAAUGUAAUAAGCUCAAUCGCACUACAUUGAAAGUGUUGUAAAAUCUAAACCUAAUCUUAUAAAAUUGAAUAUUAGUAAAACAAAAAAAUCAUGGAUCAUAAAUAGAAGUAGGGCAAAUAUUAAAAUAUCUUAGAAGCUAAUUGAAAUUUUCAACUAAUUUUUUUUAGAUAUUUUUAGUGAUAAUGUUAAACAAGUAUCAAGAGUUUUUUUAUACAUAAAUUUACAAAUAAAGUUUCAAAAAAGGAAAAAAGAGAGAGAGAAGAUUUUCAACUUGAUGCUUCUAUUAGAGAAUUAAUAUGUGUAUCUAACAGUUAGAUUGUCUUAAUUACCCUUAGUUGCUAUGGCUUUGUCAAGGGCAAAGUGCUUGAUAAAUGGAAUUAAAUACUAGGUUUAACGAAAGAAAUUAUAGCAUUUUUCUGUUGAUUUCCUAGGCAAGUCGGGAAAAAUGUACAAAAUCAAUUGGCAAAAGGAUAAGUUGCCUAAAUUAGGAUCAUGCACACUUUGACAGGUCGUUAGAGUAAUAAAACUACCAAUUUAGGUCACUAAAGGUGGGCAAUCUAUUUCUUUAAUUAGAUUUUAAAACAUGGAGGGUAAUAAAGAAAAAUACACUGUAUUUUUUUCUUAUUAAAGAUUUGUCAACUAUAAAAUCAGAUUAAAAUGCUUGAAAGUCGAAUAGAAAGAAAAAAAAUACUGCCUUGAUAAUUAUUAAUGAUAUUAAAGAAUUGACUUAGCCAAAAAAAAAAAAAAAAGGAAAAAAUACAGCGACAAAGCAUGCGAAUCAACAGUUUGAAAAAAGAAAUUCGUGUGCACACCUUUGUAUAUAUUCCCCUUAUAACUAGAUGUAUUAUGUAUUGUCAAAGAGAAUAUAUCCCUUCCUUAAUUUAAUGUAAUUCCCAGGACUGGCUUGGCAAUGGCCAAUCUUCUGCGUCAUGCGUGAGAUCACUGUUAAGAGAACAUGAUUUGGUGGUCCAUGGUUACUAAACAAAUACAUGCUUUUGCUCUUAGUCAUGAGGCGCUUGAACAAAAGCAGAGAAAAGACAUACUCAUGGCCAUCUUAAACUCACUUUCACUUUUAAAACUUUAGUCUACUUUAAAAUUAGAUCAAUUUAUUUUCUCAUGUUUCAGCUCUCAUCAUUUCAUGAGUUCCAUUCAUAUAAGCCUAGCUACAGCUUGCCAAAAAAAUUAACUGUGCUUUCCUUUUGUGCCAUUUUUUUGUUUUUAAAUUUAAUACUAUUAUUUAUUUAAAAUUAUUUUACUUCAGCUUUUACAAUAACAUAAUUAUGCAUCAAACGCAAGCCCUAAAAAAUCGAGAAGCAUAUAAAAUAUGAAAAGUCUCAACAAACUUAAUUCAAAUCCAUUUUCUUAGGUUCAUCUUUCCAAACAUAGCAAGAAUAUUAUUAUUUAUUGAUUAGAAAAAUUAUUAAUUAAAUAUAAAAUGUUAUAGCUCCCAGAAUUUACUAUUUGAAGAUUUGGACUUAAGAAGGAGCUAGGGAUUCUCUAUCAAAAGUAGGGGGUUACAAGGAAAUUUAAUGUAGAAAGGAAAAAAAAAUAUUGACCCAAGAGUCUUUUAUGGUUUUUGAGGACCUCAAAGAAAGUUAAACGUUCUAUAAUUCUCCUCUUUUUAGGGGCCAAUCCUUCCCACUUUCGUUUAAGAAUCUUCUUUUCAUCUGCUGUAGUGGGCAUCUUAUUAGCUAAGCAUAUUUGAAUCUGCAGCUUUGUUACAGUAGUAAGAAUUAGAGAGUACUAAAUACUUAUGCUAAAAUGUUAAUUUACAUCAAAGGAAUAGAAAUUGUCUUCUUUCAUAUUCAACUCUUAUAUACAGUAUGACAUAUAUGACCAAAUUUGCCUGCUUUUGGAAUAUGUCUUUUCUGAUGUUUGUGUUCUUUUGGUGCCGCACUGCUACACAAAAAAAUCCUUAGUUAAUUACUGGAUGCUUGAGCUCUAAUAUUUGUUUAUUGCAGGGUACCUUGUUUUAUGGCAAAGCUCUAUUAAUUUCACGAAGAUUAGAUUCUGGAAAAGAAAUACGGUUAAUUAACUGUUUGAUCUGCUGCGCAUGAAUGAAAGCUAAUCGGGAAAAUCAGAUAAAGGAGUCAAUCACUCAACUGCAUAUAAUUUAAUUAUUUUCUGGUACACUUUUUUUUUUUCUUAAAGAAAGAACGAUCAUCACUGCAACUAAAUGAAAUGGAUACCCACCAAAAUCCUACUUGAUUGCAUGUUUUACCGGUAGGAAUGAUAAUAUAUAGGAAAAGAUGAUGUCAUUGAUUAUUUUGAACCUCUAAACUAGUUUCAACUCAGAAACCUCACAUAUAUAUAUAUAUAUAUAUAUAUAUAUAUAUACACAUCCCUACUCUCUCUAACUCCUUCCUAAGAAAAAAAAAUGAUUGGAGAGAAAAUUACCUUUAUUAAGGAUAUACAGGAGCAAAACCAAGAGCAGAGUGAGAGUGAGCAUAAGUCAAGUUCAAUGGAUUUGGUCGAUUAAAAUCGAUUAAAUUUGGUCAAGGUUAUGAAAAGUUCUACAACUUUUGCCAAAAAUAUAUAUUACAAUGAUUAAAAAUAACUACAAAGAUUAUCAAAUUACAAAUGUUAUAAAAAACACUAUUAUUGUUAUCAAAUUUCUUACAUAAGUUACUAAAAACACUACAAAAGUUACCAAAAAUAUUAUAAAAGCUUCCAAAAUCUGACAAAAGUUAUAAAAAAAAAACCCACAAAAGUUACCAAAAUUUUUAUAGAAAGUACAAAAACACUAUAAAAAUUAUCUAAAUUCUUAUAAAACUUACCAAAAAUACUACAACGGUUACGAAAAUUAUUAUAAAAGUUAUCAAAAUAUUACAAAAGUUAGCAAAAUUACUCCCAAUAUAUAAUGCUGAAAAUCUUGGGCCCUUACAUGUGUAGUCAAAAUGCGCCCUCCUUUAUUUGGAUUCACUGGUCCUCUUUUUGUUUCCAAAGAUGGGCAUAAAUUGGGUUUCAACUUAAAUGGAAAUAUAUGAAGAGCCCAUGCUAACUAUGUUGGGCUAUAUUACUUUAUGAUCCUUUCACCUAGUUCUUCGGUGGACUAUAAAAAAAUAAAAACAUAAUAUGUAAAUUGUUCCCUAAAUUAUAUCAUAUUUUAUAAUUUAACAUUUGUAAAAAAAAAUUGAUAUUUUGAUUUUUCUUUCAUCAAAUACUUUGUGUCAUUGAUUAAUGAUGUGAAGUAAAAUAAUGAUGUAAUAAACGUUGAUCAAUAAAAAUACGUCAUAUUUCAUGUUUUUUAUUUGUAGAUUUCAUAUCAUAUGAACAUAUUAUUAAUAAUAUUAAAGUUUAAGACAAAUGAUAUGAUAUAAUAAAAUUUUGAUAUCAAAUCAUAAAUUUUUUUUAAUAAUAUCAAAUCGUAAAAGUAUAAUAUAAUACAAAAAUAAAUUACAUAUUAACCCAUUAAAAAAAAAUUAUGGUACGUUGACUGUUGACCCUUUUCUUUCGGCCAAAAAUGGGUAGUGGAAGAAGAAGAAGCAUGACUCCAACCUCAUUUACGUUUGUUAAACUUUUUAAUGGCGUUGCCACCGCGGACCAUUAAUUAUAAGUACGGCCCAUUGUUUUGAGAUUAUGGCUACAAAUCAUGGGAUUGGCCGAUCGAUAUGAAACGAUGGGCCAUCCGCUAUUGUAGCGCAGCAGCACUGAGAAAUACAAAAGACAAGUCAAAUUUUCCUUGUCAUACAACACGAUCACAGCCGUACACUUAAGGGGCCCCAAGGCUUUUGCAUGUUGAUAAACUCUGUUCGAUAAAUGAUAAUUCCAAACAUUUUUGGAUGGUGGUUUUUAUGGGGGAAAAAAAAGGGAAAAAAAAAAUUCAAACGGUGUCUUUGGGAACACAUUUUGACUCUUAGGUGGAUCUCUCAGACUCGAAACAGUUCUUCCCUUGGGGAUCAAACAACAGGGUGGGGGCUCCUUUAUUUCUUUCCAUGGAUUUCAUUUCAUUUAUUCCAAAUAAAACACAUACUCCAAUAUAUUUUUGCAUUUUAUUUAAUAACAAUCCACAAUGUUAUGUUCUUUCCUUUUCCCUGUACGGUUUUGGUUUCAAUGAUCUCUCCCCAAAGGACCACGAGUCUAAUUCACCUACCAAUAAUUAAACUCUAGAAACUCAAAAUCUCAAUACCUAUUGUCGAAUUUUAUGCCAUUUUUUAUAACUAUAAUAAGAAAAAUCCGAUAAACUUAACGCAUGACAAAGUUUAUAUAAAUUAUAUAAUUAAAGUUUAUGAAGUUUUUUAUUAAAAAUAAAUAAAUAAAAAAUUUAAAUUAAUAUAUUGAUAGAGUUUAUAUGAAUAUUAAUAAAUAUAAAAAUAUUAUUUAUAAUUUAAAUUUAAUCGAUAGUUAUUUAAUAAUAAAAAUUUUGUUAAUAUUUUUUAUAAAAAUAUUUAUAUACUAAAUAUAUCAAAAUGCAUUAAAAUUUGUUUAAAAUUUAUACAUUUGAUUUAUAUUAUAAAAUUUUUUAAUUUAUUUAUUUUUAAUAAAAAUUUUCAUGAAUUUUACUUAUUAAAUUUUAUAUAAGUCUUUUUUAGACAUAGUAUACAAGUUUUGUAUCCUUGUUUCUAAUGUAUGACUAUUCUCAUUAACAACCAUUACACACGAUAGAGAAAACCCUCUUUUUUAUCUAGUUUUUAGGAAAUAUUAAUAUGCUAGAAUAUAAUUUUUGCAUUUUCCCAAAAUCAUUUUAAAGCAUGAGAUGAAUAGUUUUAAAAAAUUACAAUAAAGGGAAAAAAAACUGUUUUCAUUUCAACUGUUUAAAAUAAAACAUCGUAAAUUAUAUAAUUUAUUAAUAAAAGAAUGAUUUAAUUACGAACCUCAACAUUUGAUUCGAGAUAUCGCAAGUGAUUUAUUUUAUUUAUAUAUAAAAUUUGUAUUUCCCCUUAAUAACCCCUCUUUUUUUACUAUUGAAAAAAAAAGCCUAAUUAACUUUAUUAAUUUAUUAUUAAUUUGUUUUAUAUUUUACUUCUGUUGUCACUGUUUCUCACUGCCAAAACUUUUCCUGAGAGCAAAACAAAAUUGUGUUUUUAUUUGAAAAAAACCCAAAAACAUUGCCCUAAAAUUUCGAAAAUAGGAGUGUCAAAAAACAACAUAAAGAGGACAUAAAGUUGUCCUUUUUGGUCAUUUGGACCCAUGCAUCGAAUCGAAACCCAUCUACGAACGCGUGUGGUUUCAACUCUCAUAGAUCAAACCGAACACAAGCGUUAAUCCUUCUCUCUCUCGCUCUCUUUUUUUUUUUCUUCACAGCAAAACUAAAGAGAAUUUCUUUGCUUUCUUUGUCGUAUUGUUAUUCUCUCUCUUUCUCUUUCUCCUAAGCCCUCAAGAAUUCAACUUUUUCGUAUUCAUGAAAGCUAAGCUCUAUCUUACAAGGUAACAAAAAUCUUCUUUACUAUGUCUUGUUUCUUCUUUUCUUUUCUUUUCAUUUUUUUUUUGUUUUUGUACUUUUUUUUUGCUCUGCUUUUAUUUAUGGCUACAAGAAAAGAGUGAAGAGAGAAAAAAAAAAAAAGAGUUGACGAUCGAGGUUUACAGAUGUAUAACAAUGAAAACCCAUUUGUCCAGGUUGGUUUUGGCACGUGGGUUUUAACGUUCAAGUUCUUCUAUGAAGGUUAGCCAUAUGUUUUUAUGAAAAAAAAAUUGUUCUUUUACAUUUUUAUAGACAUUUCUUAUCAACCGUUUAUUAGUUAAUAUGUUUUUUCUUACUUUUUUCUGUAGUUGUUUAGUAUGUUUAAUCAAAAUCAAAUGGAGUUGCAUGUUAAUUUUCACUGAAUAAUGCACAAGUUUUCUUGAUUGAUUUCAUUAUUCUGUAUACUAUAUGUUUGAAUGAGAUCGUUUAGUAUUCUGUAUUGACAGCUAUGUGUUUUUGGGAUCGUUUAGAUUGGUUUUAUGUUGUUUUUUAUCUGUUCAAUCGGCAUGUGAACAUGUACCUUGGCAUUUGAAUAUCAGUAUCCACCUGCUUUUGGUUCUUGCUGUUGGUAAUUUAGAUUAUUAAAAUAUAAAUGUUGUUAUCUGUUUUAAUUGUAGUCAUAAGCUUCAUGCUUAAAUUGAGGGCCCUUAUUUUUUCCCUCGAGAAUUAUGUUUGAAAUUAUAUUCACCACGCUUGGUUUAAUUCUUGCUUAGCUAUUGGUUGUUUUGCAUUCGAUUAUUAUGAUCUUUUCUGAUGAACCUAGCCUGCACAAGUUUUUUUCCUUUUUUUUUUCCCUUUUGAUGAAUGUUUGUCUUGUUUCAUUGCAUUCAUAAAGUUUUUCAACACUGUUAUGAAUUCUCAAGGGUCCUACCUAAAUCCCAAGCAUAUGUAAAAAUGUUAGGAUUUUUUCCCGCAUUGAUUGCUGGAAAUUACUGAUGUUCAUACAUAAAAGGAUUCCUCUGUUUUUCAAGUUCCGUCUUUAUCUUGAAUUAAAAUAAAUAAUUUGGAGAAAUUAUAUUUGGCAUAUAUUGACUUUAGCAGUUCCAUGCAGGUCUAAGAGUAGAAAAUUGAUGCUGCAAGUACUUCUAUCUAGAAAUAUUGAAAUUCCCAUGCAUAAUGAUAGUUUUUCCAUCCAUAUAAGGAGCUUGCUAUGUUUGCAUUCAGGACCUGAUGAAGUAAAUUAGGGCUCCAGGGCUGGUUUUAUGCAGUCUUAUGUCCAUUUAAUUUUUUUUUUUUUUGCUCAAUUCUUGGGCAGAUGGACACUACUCUUUUGGAUAAUGGCAUGGAGGGCAUUGAAGAUGAAUCUGCUGAACAAUUACUUGCUUCAUGUUCCUUUUUGGAUGAAAUUUUUGGAGAUCCAUAUGUGAUUCCUCGUGUUGGAGAUCAAUACCAAGCAGAAAUUCCACCUCUAGUUGGAGAAUGUCGUAGUUUACAGGUUGUAAUGGAACCAAUUGACUCAAAAGUCAUAAUUAAUGUGCCAAACCUUUUUCCAAUGGGAUUGCCUAUCCCUCUUUUCUGGACAAAGACUGAAGAAAGUAUAAAUGGUGCAUUUGAAUUUGAAAACAGUGAAGAGAGCCACAUUACGUCAAGCCAUGGAUGUGCAGAAUAUAAAGUUGGAAGUCUAUAUUCUGUGUUGGGUGAUGGGAAAGACACGAGAGGGUAUGCAAAGCUUCAAGCUACAACCGGAACUAAGCUGGAUGUUGAUUUACUCUUUCCACAGGAGCCAAAUUCUAAGCUGAAUCUGGUGGAUAGAUGUCCUUGUCCUCUUCCAGGAUUUUCGAGUGAAGUAUGGAAGGAUAUUGAACUUGACAGUUUUCUUCUUGGGCUAUACAUCUUCGGAAAAAAUCUUAUCCUUGUGAAAAAUUUUGUUGAGAGUAAAGAGAUGGGAGAGAUAUUGUCUUUCUAUUAUGGAAAAUUUUACAGGUCUGACGGAUAUCGCAGAUGGUCAGAAUGCCGAAAGUUAAGAAGCAGACGUUGCAUUCAUGGAGAAAAGCUGUUCAGAGGAUGGAGGCAACAGGAAUUAUUAUCACGAUUAUUUUCUCAUCUUUCAAAAGAAUGUCAAGAUAUGUUGCUUGAGGUAUUUUUCUGACCUUUUUUUAAUGCACAACACCCACUCAUUUGAUCUUUCUAAAUAAUUAGACAUAUUUAUUUUGUUAAUUAGUCCUUUUAUAUCACUGAGUGCUGUCAAGUUACACAUACUCCCUUCCUAAUCAUUUUAUAUCUCUCCUACUCCCUUGAAACUUGAUCUAGGAACACUACAUUAUUAUGUUGAUGGAGACGUUAUUUUUUGUUAGUUAGCAUGGUUUGUUAACUUCUGAAAUGUGCACAUAAUUUCUGAUUUUUAUUUUCAAGUGGUAUUUAUGCAAAUGUGCAUCAUCCACACUGCAUAGACACAUACAGUGUUGACUGUGUAACUUUUCAGGUGGCUGAAGUCAGGCCACUUUGGAGAGCAACAUACUUUGAGCAUGGGAAUUAGUGAUGAUUUUGUGGUGUGUAAUAUCGUAAACCAAAAAUAACACAGAUGCUAUACAGGGUUUGAGACGGGGAAAUUGAAGCAAAUUAGCAAAGAAUGUAGGUUUAACUGGGGCCAUGCUUGAGUAUUCUGUUGGUUCAUCGAAACAAAGCAGUGUUUCUCUUUGAAGAUCUGUCUUUUAAAAGGGGCAACUAACUAUAGGGCCGUCUUUAGAGGCUAAAAUGGAGGAGCGAGAUUUUUUUUUGAUAAUGGAAGAGCAUGAUUUUGGUUGUUGACUAACACAUUCAGAAAUAUUUAUGUAUUAAUGGAAUGAUAAAAUAUGGGAAAACACAUAUUUAUAGUUGGUUAUAAUAUUUUAAUUUGUAUAUUUAUAUUUGUGUCUCUAGAAUUAAAGUAUUUGUAUCCUUAAAAUUAGGGAUAAAAAUUAUGAUAGACAAUCUCUCAAUUGUAGGAUCAAUUUUAAAAAGAUUUAGUUUUCUAGUUUACUCACUAGUUAGUUUUAUAUAAAUCUAAAGCACUUGUAUAAUUCUUUGAUGAAUAGUCUUUCAACAUACAUUUAGUUUUACUUUUAGUUUUUCACAUAGUUUUAUUUCUUAGCUUUUCCAUAUGAUAUCAGAGCCAGGUUACCAAUCGAACGUGAGCUAAGUGCAACACCGUGAGAGCCACCUUUAGAAUCCUACGAGUUAAGUGCUACAUUGUGAGAGCUACCUCUAGAAUCCCAACAUCUAGUGUGAUUCGAUGGAUCUAUGUGUUUUAUGCUGGGUUUGACAAAGACAUCAAGUUUUAACAGGGGGAGUUUGUGAUGCCUAAUCCCACAUCGGGAUAAUCAGACUUUCUACUAUGAUAUAUAUGGAUAGAUCUAAACCUAAACUUGUCACACAACUUUUGUGGGAUAAAAUCGUAAGAUCUUCGUGUCAAAGUAGAUAGUAUCUCGCAGGUUGGGUGUAGAUUUUCACAAAUGGUAUCAGAGCUUUAAGCUCUUCUUGGGAAGAAAAUUUUUACUAUUAAGAUUCGUUUUAGCCUUGAGAAAGAUAACUAUGCCAGAGAUAGCAAAAUCUGUUACUACUACCUGAUUUGAGGAAGUAACAACUAAUAAAACCAUCGAAAUACUAUAAAAAUCUUGAGAACAAAGAGGGUUGGACAAAGAAGAGAUUGAGAAACUAAAAAGCCUUUAAAAGCAUACCGGUUAUGUGCUUUGGGUAAGGUUUCUAAUUCAGGUAAAGCUUUUAGUUCUCAUGGAUUAAAUGUUUCUAUUAAGCCUAUUAUAAAUUCUUGGGUCAUCGACUCAGGAGCCAUAAAUCGUAUGACACAUUCCUCACAGAAGUUUAGUACAUGUACCUUGUAUCCAAGUAAUAAGAAAAUUGUUGUUGCAAAUGGUUCACUUACUACAAUGACAGGAUUAGGAUAUAUUCAAAUUAAUCCCUCGUUUGUUCUUAAAUAUGUUUUUCAUAUUCCUGGAUUGUCUACUAGUGUGAUAUUUAUACAAAAACUUACUGGAGAUAUGAACUGCAAAGUGAUUUUUUAUCCCUUCUAUUGUGAAUUUCAGGACCAGAGUUCAGGAAAGAGGAUUGGGCUUGCUAAGGACAAUGAUAGACUAUAUUAUCUUGAGACAUCAAACAAUACAAGUAAUAUCAAGAAUAAUUUACCUUUGUCAUUUCUUUCUUAAAAAUCUCCCAAUAAAGACAAAAUUUGGCUUCAUCAUUUUCGUCUUGGACAUCUUUUUUGAAACUUUGAAAAACAUAUUUCAUUUUUUGUUCAAAGGAUUAAAUGCCAAAAAUUUUCAUUGUGAUGUUUGUGAACUUGCAAAGCAUAGACGUAUGUCUUUUCCAGUUAGCAAUAAAAGGAGUUCUAAUUUUUUUUAUUUAAUUCGUAUUGACAUAUGGGGUCCCUCUAUAAUUCCUAAUAUUUCUGAUGCAAGGUGAUUUAUUUUUUUCAUAAAUGAUUGUACCAGGGUCUUAGAUAUUUUUACUUAAAUCUAAAUUAGAUGUGAAUAGUGUGUUUUUAAACUUCCAAAACAUGAUUAAAAAUCAGUUUGGAGUGAAAAUUAAGAUAUUUAGGUUUUAUAAUGCAAGAGAUUAUUUCAACCAAAAUUUAUCUACCUCUUUCCAAAAUGAGGGGAUUAUUGAUUGGUUAUAUUGUUUUAAUACUCCACAGUAGAAUGAAUGACAGAAAGGAAAAAUAAGCAUUUACUAACCACAACCGGAACUUUACUUUUUCAAGUAAAUGUACCCAAAUCUUAUUAGAGGAAGCUGUUCUCACUGUCACAUAUAUUAUAAAUAGGUUACCUUCAAGAUAUUUGGGAUUUAAAACUCCUAUAGAUCUACUCUUACAAUUUUAUCUCAACUUUAAUACCACAAACAACUUCACACAUAGAAUAUUUGAUUGUACAUAAUUUGUUCAUGUUCACAGUCAUAAUAGGAGAAGUUGGAUCUUAGAGCAAUUAAAUGCAUUUUGUGGGGUAUUCAUCAACUUAGAAGGGGUAUAAGUGCUAUAUUUGCAGAUGUCACUUUUUAAGAAAAUAAAUCAUUUUUUACUCAACCUUAUCUUCUGAGGGAGGCUUCAUGCAUGAAAGAUAAGGAUAAAGACUUCUUUUUGCUUAACUUCUCCUCCUCUUCAACAUUUUCAGCUAUUAAUUUUUUAAGUUUAAACUUGUCUCUUUUAAGUUCAAGUUAAAUACUAAAUUUGAGUUUGAACCUAUUCCUAACACAGAAGAUGUGACAAGGGAUAAUAUUAUUCUUGAUUCUACGAAGGAAUUACAAGUGUACUCAAGAAGGAAAGUUCCAAAUCUUGAACCAAUGCAAGUCCAAGAAUCUAAUCCUAACUCUGAAAAUGAGGUAAGUACAGUCUUUGACUCUGUUUUUCAAAAUGAGCAUGAAUAUUCUAAAACUAUAACUAGUGAUUCUGAUCUGCUUAUUGCCAUUAGGAAAGGAACCAAAGAAUGUACUAAACAUCCACUAUACCCAAUCUCUAAUUUUUUGUCAUUUGAAAAAUUCUCACUAUCUCACAAAUUUUUUCUUAUGAGCUUGAGCACUAUUUCUAUUUCAACUACAUUAUCCGAAAUAUUAUCUAAUGAGAAUUGGAGGCAAACCAUAAAAAUAGAAAUAUAGGGCUUAGAGAAAAAUAAGCCAUGAAAACCGGUAGAGUCACUUAUAGGAAAAAAAUCAAGUUGGGUGUAAAUAGGUUUUCACUGUAAAAUACAAAGCAGAUGGUACUGUUGAAAGAUAUAGGACCAGGUUGGUGGCUAAGGGCUACACUCAAACUUAUGGAGUGGAUUAUCAGAAAACUUUUGCUCCAGUUGUCAAGAUGAAUACAGUUAGGAUUUUGUUAUUAUUGGCUGCAAAUUAUAAUUAGCAGCUUCAACAAUUUGAUGUAAAGAAUGCUUUUUUACAUGGUGAUUUGAAAUAAGAAAUAUAAUAAAGGUUCCACUGGGAUUUGAAAGUCAUCUAAAAACAAACAAAGUAUGUAAGCUGAAAAAGGUUUUAUAUGGCCUCAAACAAUCUCUUAGGGCCUAGUUCGAGAUAUUUGUCAAAGUGAUGCUAGCAAUGCGAUAUAAGCAGAGUUAAGAGGGUCACACAUUGUUUAUCAAGCACUCAGAUUCAGUGAAAGUCAUAGUUCUAUUAAUAUAUGUUAAUGAUAUAAUUAUAACCGAAGAUAAUGAAAAAGAGAGAAAAUCUAUAAACAAUAUUUGGCCAGAGAAUUUGAGAUAAAAGAGCUAGCGCGAUUGAAGUACUUUCUAAGAAUUUAAAUAGCUCACUCAUGACAUGAUAUUUUUAUCUCACAACAGAAAUAUGUGAUGAAUCUUUUGAAGGAAAUUGGGAAGCUUGUAUGUAAACUUGCAAGUAAUCCUAUAGAAACUAAUUAUAAACUUAGAAAAACUAAUGAAGAUGCUACUGUAGAUAGAAAGAUGUACCAAAGAUUAGUUGAAAGACUCAUUUAUCUCUUAUAUACUAGACUUAACAUAGCAUAUGUUGUGAGUGUGAUAAGUCAAUUUAUUUAUAGUCCUAAAGACGUGCACCUACAAGUUGUUUAUCAUGUACUACACUAUUUGAAGGCUAAUCCUAAAAGAGGUAUCUUAUUCGAAAGAAAUUCGGGACUGGUAGCAUAUACAGAUAUGGAUUAUGCAGGUUUAGUAAUUGAUAGAAGAUUCACCUCAAGCUACUACACUUUCCUAGGUGAUAAUCUUGUAAAUUGAAAAAGUAAAAAACAAAAUGUGAUGGUAAGAUCAAGUGUUGAAGCAGAGUUUAAAGUAAUGGCUUAAGGAAUUUGUGAACUACUAUGGUUCAAAAUUAUCCUAGAAGACUUGAAAAUCAAGUGGGAUGGACCAAUGAGACUCUACUAUGAUAACAAGUCUGCAAUAAGUAUUGCACACAAUCCUGUGCAACAUGACAGAAUCAAAUAUAUUGAAGUAGAUAGCAUUUUAUAAAGGAGAAACUAGAUAGUGGGUUGAUUUGUACACCGUAUGUAUCAACUAAGAGUCAACUUGCAAUUUGGUUGACUAAUUGUCUCAGUAGUGUAACAUUUUAAGAAAUUAUUUACAAGCUGGGAAUGGAAAACCCCUAUUUACCAGCUUGACGAGGGUGUGGGAAAACACUUAGGCUUUGUUUGUUUCACAGUAAAUUACUUUCGAAAAAUGAUUUGCGUAUUUUCAGAUGUUUGUUUGACAGAAAAUUAGCUAGUUAACGAAAAAUGACUUAUUGGUCAAUGAAAAAAAAAGUCAUUUUUCUGAAAAUUAUCUUACUAAUUUAAAAAGAGGAAGACAUUUUCUGGAAAAGAACUAUCUAUGAGUAGAACUACUUAUCAAUACUUUUGAGCAUAAUUUUAUUUAUAAAUAAUAUUAUAUUAAUAAAUAAAUAAUAUUAUAUUAUAAUAUAUUAAUAAAUAAUAUACUAUUAAUAUAAUAUAUUAAUAAAUAUUAUUAAUAAAUAAUAUAUUAAUAUAUUAAUAAAUAAUAUAAAGAAUAAUAAAUAGUUUUAUUUUAAGUAUUUUUUAUAUUAACAAAAUAUUUUAAUAUUAAAUAUUAUUAUUAAAAUAUAAUUAUUUUUUAAGAUUAAUAAUUUUAAUAAUAAAUAAUUUUUAAUAUUUUAAUAGUCAUAUUAAUAUUAUUUAAAAAAAUAGAUUUUUCAAAAAACAACCAAACAACUGAAAAUAUUUUUUAUUAAUUCAUCCAAAUAAUAAAAAAUCUCUCUCAAUUCAAAAAAUAUAAACAUUUUCUAGAAAUCAUUUUUUGAAAGUCAGCGAAACAAACAAAACCUUAUUUACAGCUAGGUGUAAUUUUAUAAUCUGUAUAUUUAUAUUUUUAUCUCUAGAAUUAAAGCAUUUAUAUCUCUAGAAUUAAGGAUGGAAAAUUAUGAUAGACAAUCUCUCAAUUAUAAGAUCAGUUUUAGGAAUAUUUAGUUUUUUAGUUUACUUACCAGUUAGUUGUGUAUAAACCUAAGGUGCUUGUAUAAUUCUCUGAUGAAUAGUUUUUCAAUAUACAUUUAAUUUUACUCUUAGUUUUUCACAAAGUUUUAUUUCUUAAGUUUUUCUACAUAAAGUAAAUGUAAAUUAGUUUUUAGUUUUUUUGGAUUUAUAAAGGCAUAUUUUGCCUUUAACAUUGUUGUUUUUCCUUAAGGAAAAUAAACUUCUUCCUUUUACCAAGAGCUUUGUUGUGCCAAUUGAAUUGCCGUGUGGCUCAUUAGUCUCCUAAAGUUUUCUUUAGAAUAAGGAGCUGGUAAUUUAAGCUCGUCCUUUACUUUUGUUGCUAUCUUGGUCUUCUCAGUUCAUUUAGGCAUGCAUGUAAGAAUUUACUUAUGUGAUCUAGGUUGAUCAAUAAAAAUGGUUGUUGGUGUUUCAUUGUCAGUCUCUAACAAGCAUUGUGACCUUUGGCUUCUGCUUGGACUGCUUUCAACAUUUUUGAAGCAUGGUAGAUAGAGUGUCUGGCUUUCUGUAUGGAUAUAUUGAGCUUAAUCUCUUCUUCUGGGGGUUAUGCACUAUUCGCCGUAAGUCACUUGGCUCAGUUUUGGAAAUAUAGGAGAAUAUAUGGUCAUAAAGGAUUAGAAUAAUGCAUGGAAACUUCUGUUGUUCUUAGGAAAUGCAUCUCUAAAAUUCACAUGAAUAUCCAGAGUUUUUUGCAGUGUAUCUAUAGGUCUUCGUCUGAUUUUUUGGAAUGGACAAGAGUAAGGAGAAUGCUUAAUAUGCUUUUUCCACUUAGGCAUUUUCAACCCCUUUUAUUUGGUCUAUUUUUCAACUACAUAUAAAAUGGUUUGAAAAUGCGGUUGCAUUUCAACUACAAAUAAAAGAUUUCUUUCUUCAACCCCUGUCUAAAAUCUUAGACAUUUUGCAGUGUAUCUCUAAGAAUAUUGCAGUUAUUCUUAGCUACCUUUUAAGAACAUCUAUUGAUUUCGAUUGAACUCCUGGUUUUUAUGUACUGUUGAAAAUUUCAGUUUACUGCUGAACUAUUGCACCUAAUUUUUCAGCCAUAUUGGGUCUAUAUUUUUCAGAGACAAAAAUAUUUCAUCAUGGUGUUUUUAUGAAUUCUGAUUAUUGCAGGUUUCUAAAACAUUUGGUGAGGGAAAAGUUUCCUUUGAGGAAUACGUAUUCACCGUAAAGAAUACAGUUGGCAUUGGUAUGCUCAUAGAAGCUAUAGGUAUUGGCAAAGGAAAGCAAGACCUAACUAGCAAUGCCAUGGAACCAGUAAAAGCCAAUCAUGUAGUUUCUUUUCGUCCUGAAAUACCAGUUGGAAAAGCAUGUUCUACUCUUGCAUCUGCAGAUAUUAUCAAGUUUUUAACAGGAGAUUUUAGGUUGAGCAAAGCUAGAUCCAGUGAUCUUUUCUGGGAAGCUGUUUGGCCUCGCCUUUUAGCCAGAGGCUGGCACUCUGAACAGCCAAAGGAUCAGGUUUUUUCUGGUUCAAAGAAUUCUCUGGUGUUUCUUGUACCUGGUGUUAAGAAGUUUUCAAGAAGGAAGCUGGUGAAAGGUAACCACUAUUUUGAUUCUGUUAGUGACGUUCUUAAUAAAGUUGCUUCAGAACCAGGGCUUCUUGAGCUUGAAAUUGAAGUGCCAGGCAGCAGAGAGAACAAAGAAAAUAAGUGGGACCCAGUAACAAAACAAGAUCCUGAUUUUAUGACAAAUAAACGUAACCGAUACCUCAAGCCACGAAAUUCUGGUUGCAGUCGAGAUUUAAUGAAGUUUACAGUUGUAGAUACUAGUUUGGUCCAAGGGACUCAACGAUCCAAGGUUAGAGAACUGAGAAGCUUACCACUUGAAGCUACGAGCUUAUCCACCCCCUCUGGUAUUUCCAGCGAUUCUGAGGAGGAUACAUCUGAUGACUCAGAAGAUGAUGCAGAAGAAAAUAGUACUUCAAAUGCUGCAGAGUCCAUGGCUAAUGGGGAAGAAUAUGUGGACUUAUCAGAUUGUGUAAAUAGUAAUUCAAACAUCGUCAUUCCCCACACCUCUGAUACCAGCAUUAUAUCAAUGGAAAAUCAUGAAAGCCAUAACACAAGUCUGCUUGAUGAGAAGGAGAAAAAGGUUAUGAAGUAUAAUUUCAGCCGAAAGGUGCAGUCUAGUGAUUCCAAAUAUUUGGCUCCUGUUAUUAAACAGCAGGGUUUAACUGAUUGUGUCAAUGGAGAAUCAAGCUGUAGUGUUGAAAACUUUUCUGCUGAGAGGAUGUUAAAUGAAGACAAUUCGCACUGUAGGUCUAGCUUGCCUGAUGCUUGUGAAGCUAUGGUUUUUCCAAUGGGAUCCCCAAACUUGUCACCUGCCAGUUCUUUGUCUAAAGGCGGUGCUGAUGAGGGAAAGGAAGGCAUUGUCACUGAAAACUGCCUUCAUGGAGAAGAAUCUCUGAUAAAAACGCAGUUACAUGCUUUGAUAAACUUGAAUGUUCGUCAAGUAUCAAUGGAUUUUGAAACCAAUGGACCCUUCAUCACAGAGACGGUGCAAAAUAUUGACAAUUCGGGUGCUCAUAUAUCAUUCUUUCAGUCCGAAAUAAUGGUGCAGCCUGAACCAUUGAAGCUUCCUGAUAAAGGCGCAGAGGUCAAUCAGCAUCCUGUAAUGCACAACCGGAGGCAGAGUACCAGGAACCGACCAUUAACAACAAAAGCUUUAGAAGCUCUUGAAUGUGGGUUCUUCAGUCCCAGGAGGAAGAGAAAAGUUGCAGAGGCUCCACAGAAUAACUUACGAAGAGUUCGUGGCAGGCCUGUUGUUAAUGCCCUUUUUAGAAAUGUUGCUUGUAAGCCCAACAUGGAGGAGAGUUAGAUUGGUUUCUGCAGUGCCAAAAAAUGGCCAGUCGGUCUCAAAUCUGAAUCUGAUACGUGGAGAAAUGAGUGGACUAAUUGCUAAGCUGGUCCUGAAAAAACCACGUCUCCCUCCACGGCCUCCAAAGCAUUGUGUUUUGGGUGCUUUUCAUUUUUUUAGUCAAUAAUUGGGAGUGCAUAUGUUUCCUUAAUCAAACUAGGAAAACAUAACACUCCAUUCACCCAACCAGCUGCAGAUUCGUGACCAAUGUCAGGUGAAAAAUUGAAGUAUCAAACAUGUUCAUCUUACAUAAGUCAGACGAAACUGAUGCGGGGUUAUAAUCUCAGAAAGAAGAGGAGGGGAAACAAUUCCUUAAACCGGAGUAACCUUUUUCAUUGUGGGAGCAAAUGACACAGGUGGUUCUUACUGUCUUCUAGAUAACUGACUUGCAAACGGUAUUCCUUAUAGGGGUUUGACUGCUGAAUAAUCGUAAUGCCAACCUUUGAUCUUGGUGAAGCUGACUGUUAUUUUCUCAGUUAAAUAAGUUCUCUUUCUGUAUAAACUUUGUCCUCAAAAAGUGUAUAAAGCAAAAGAAUUUUACUUUUAUAUUAGAUUUUCAAUUUAACAAAGUUGUCCUAUUGUUAGUAUUAUAUUUUUUUAACAAGCAUAUGGUCAAAUUUUUAAUUAAUAAUUUUUUAUUAAACACGAGGAAUGGAAAAGGAAAAAAAAAUUGGAGAAUCAAGAGUCAAGAUUAAUAGCACUUAUUAUUCUGAAAGUGAAACAAAGUUUAACCAAGUAUGCAAGUCAAAUUGCUCGUAAUCUUUGAUUGAUACUAUAUUUCAGUUGGAAUAGGUCGGUCGCAUUGCGUGAUUUGUUGUUUGCAGUUUCUUUCUUUUAGUUGUCUAUGAAAUUGCCAUUGCAGGAUAUCUGAGUUUUUUUUUCUGGAUACAACUUCAGAGAGAGGUCAAAGUAAUUGGCAGGCAAAAAACUAAGCACUUGAAUUGAAGCCAGUCAAAACACACAGAAAACAAACGUUCAAUCAAUACUCAAAAUGCCAAAAUUUUUUCGCUGGCAUGUUACCUACCUGGGAAAAAGGGAAGAAAAGGAAACUUAAACCAUAUAAAAACAAUGGGAACUUUCCUCCUAAACCUGUAGUAUUUUUUUUUUUUUACCCAUUUUCGAGUUAUCAAACGGUUGCAGAUCAUUGAUGUUACUGGUGAAAAUGAGCCAUGUUUUCGAGGUGGGAAACCGCUGCUUGAAUUACUAGGCAAACAAGAGUAGGCUCAGCUCUGCCUCUAGAAUCGAGGGUCUCUUUCAAUUUUCAUUCUCUAACAUGAAGAAAACCUUAUUCUUCUCACAUCCGAAUCAGGCCUGAUCUUAAUUAUCCAAAGGGCAAAAAAAAAAUUUUAAUUCUUGAUGACAUGGUCAAUGUCACGGACGGACCAUACCUAGGCCCAUUUCCACUUCGAGCCCUAGAGCUUGGGACAUUUUUGCUGAAAAUUUGUCUUACAUAGACUAAGGUCUGAGAGACCCCACUUCACAAGGCUGAUGGUGAUAACUGAUGAUGAUGUUAAUCACUAUUAAUGUUAUAAUUCAAAACCCAAUUCCUAUUAGUCUAAAUAAUGAUUUUCAUCUUUCUCACUUUCUAGAUUAUCUUCAACAAGUCAAAAAGGUGUUGGAUUCCCAAAGAUUUUUCUUUCUCUCCAAAUAAUCUCCAUCAAUGCUCCAGUGAUUGCCAGGGUUGAUAUCUCCACGUUUUUAAAAGAAAUUAACACUUGGUUAGAAUUUGAAGCAAAACCUGUUUGGGAUUUAACACGAUGAAAAAAAAAAGAAAAACAACUGAUUAGACGUGAUGUAAUAUUUAUGUCAUAAAUUUUUUCGAAUAAAAAAAAUUACAGACAAAUAACUUCCUUUGCUUAUUUAAUUAACUUUAAUUGAAACUAUAUCUAGAGCUUCUAAUAAAGUGAUUCAUGUAUUUAUUUUCUCUUUUGUUUUUAGUUUAUAAAUUUCAAAUUGGGACCAUUUGAAAGCUACGUUCUUACCGUAGAACCAGUCAAAAUGAAACAAAUUAUUUCAAAUCCACCAAUUUACAAUAAUAUUGAAAAUUAACCAUCACCAGACACAAAAUAGACCAGGUUCACACUUGAUGCAAGACUAAAAUCUUUAAAAAAUCUUUCUCCUUAAUUACUUUUUAUUCCUUUCUAAUUCAUCGUAAAAAACACGUCAGUUUCAACAAACAAUAGAAUAUUCAUGAUUGGUUUUUUUUUUAACCUCAAUCAAACAUCGUUUUCAUAAAAAUAUAUAUAUUUUAAAAAAAGGAAAGAAUGCAAGGCCAUGGCCGUCUUUUCUGUUGUUUAUAUUCCAUGGGGUUACUUAGCUUAUGUCAAUUAGAAACCUGGUUCGUUCUAAAUUAUUCAGCAUUUGUGACACUGCAGCAUCUGAAUGGUGUUUAGGGUCGUCCUUUAUAUUCGAUCUUUGCCAUAAAAUAACCAGGAAAAUGUAUAAUGUUGGAACAUUUUUGUCUUCACACUGUUGUGUUUAUGUUUGCUUCAUAAAUUCUAUCGAUCCGCCAUCGAUGAUAACCAAGCAAUUCUGUUUGUCUUAACUAGUAGUUCGUGAUGGAGAAGUAGCAGAUACUUGCAAAAUGGUACAGUUUUGAAAUAUGAUUGACCUGAGUUUUGGAACUUAGCCAAUGGUUCAUAUUCUUAUUUCUGUCUCUUUGUUGUUUCUCAUUCUACAGCCGGGCUUCUUGCUGUUUCUUAUUAAACAUGUGAACUAAUUUUUGGAAAACUAAAUCCUGCUAAUUGACAUGGAUGGUUCAAUUUUCUUCUUUCAAUUGGAAAAAACUGAAAGAAAAUGCCACUAAAGAAAAGUGAUCAUCUGGUUUUUAACAUGAAAUACGAUCAAGAAAGUUCAAGAGUAUGAUCUGUUUUUUUCUCAAAAAUACGAUAUUUGUGGUGAUAUUUUGGGAUUUAGUUUUGGUCUUAUCCAAAAUUUCGAUAAUGGUUGUUAACUGAACAUAUUAGUAUUGAACAAAUGAACAAGCACUUGUUCUUCCCUGAGUUCAGGAUUGUCUUGUCAGUUAGGCAAAUGGCUAAUACGUUUUUUCUAAAGUAUCACUUUUUCUCCCCUUUUGAUUGAACUAUAGCGUCACCUCCAUCAUGCUUGAGUCGGAGAUAAAAAAAAACACACACACACAAAACCCAUUGGCCAUAAAUAAGGAUAGCUUUAGCAUCCCUAGAGAAUCAAAUAAAAUACUUUUGCCCUAUAAUAUUCUUAGACAAUUACAAGAAGGAUUUAGUUAGAAUGAUGGAAAUUCAAACGCUUAUAGAAUGUGAUAUUAUACAAAGUUUCAUGUGUUAUCAGAUGAUAUAUUGUAAAUAUAAUUUUUAAAUUGUGAUAUGUUUUAUAUAAAAAAAUUCAUAGUAAAAGAAGAAAGUGUAUAAUAGAAACAAUAUUUUUAUAAGCACAGCUUUUUCUUGUUCAGAAAAUUCAGUAAUUAGGAUAAAAAGUCACAUUGAUGUAAAGCAAAUCCAGAGGCAUAGUUUUACCGGUUGAAACAAAAGAAAUUCUGGGUAAUGCAAUUGUUUAAGAUUACAUACAAGUUUAGAUGUCGUCGUUACUCUAAAUAUUAUAAUACUGUAACCUAGAAAACAAAGCAGCAGCCAUCUUUAAUGGGGUUAAUAACUUAUGUAUAAGAUAUUGAAACUCUGGACACUGACUUGUUUGGUUUCCUUGAUCGUUUGGAUCAAACCAGACAAACAGGAUUCGGCACAGUUUCAACUGAUAACGGAGACGCAUCCUAAUGAUAUAACAAGCUUCUUGCACCUUUUUUUUAUUGGUUUAAUCAUUAUUUGUUAGGCAGCCUUUUAUAUUAUUACAAAAUAUUUAAUAUGAUAUCUACAUUGAAAAAAGUUUCGAUUAUAAAGUUAAAUUUUGAAUCCGUUUAUCAAGUAACAUCAAUUUUGAAUACUAAAAAUAUUAAUGCGACCAUCAAUCAAUAAAAAUUUGACAUUUGUAUAGAUAUUGAAUCUGUAAAUGACAUGUGUCAUAUUAAGAAAUAAAAUAAAUAAAAAAAAUAAAAUAUAAAAAAUUGAAAAAAUCCAAAAAUAAAGUAAAGUAAAUUUUCAUAUUUGAUUGAACAUUUUUUAUUAUAAAUAUCAUAUUAAACAUUUUUUGAUAAGAAAUUUAUCCCUUCUUGAUUAUAUAUUGUGAUAUAGACUGCAAAAUUGUUUUUGCAAACUAAUUUCAUGGAGUGGGAUAAAUGCAUAGAAGGAGAGAAAUAUAAAAAUUAAAUUAGUUUUAAAGAUGAUCAUUGUUCAGAUGUAAAUUCCUACUGUUUUAUAAAAUAGAAUUUACACAUUUUCAAAAAGUUUGAACUCAAAAUCUGUGAAGAUGAAGAAAUUUGCUCAACACAAUAAUUGUCCAAUCUUUUCAAGUAUAAUUGAAUUUUAAACUUGAAUUGAUGGACUUAAUUUCUUUUCAACAAUUGAUAUCUUUCUUUAGCUAGUUGAAUUUAUGUCUUAUAUAUCAUACCUUCAAUUUUUUUUAUUUAAAAUUAUCAAAAUUUGAUUUUUAAUUAUUAAAUUUAAAAAUUUAACAUUCUAUUAACAAAUCAUGUGAUUUUACAUCAACAAACUAUAACUUAAAUUCUAAUGUCUGCUUAAAUAUGUCAUGUGAAGCCUACAGCCUUGCUCUAGCCAAACUUUCUUGGUUUUUAAUUUACUCCCAAAUCAUAAUGCUAUAGAUUGAUAAGAAAUCUAAUUAAUUUUCUCAUCCAAAUUAAUUUCUCUAAGCUUUAAUUUGAUUUUGUUUUGGUAACAAAAAUUUUAACAUUACUGUCAUAGUAACAUAUUAGUAUUAUUCAAGGAAAGGCAUCCUGGGGAACCAAUUAAACUAAUUUAUAUAUAAAAAAUAACAAUGAAAAAGAAUGGCAAUUUAUUUAAUAAUGAUCAUAUUAGGGGGGCAAUUUCCUUGUGCUUGUCCUUUUCAAAUUUUAACCCUGUACAUAUAUAUUUAUAUAAAGCCAAAGAAGACCAGGUUCCAAUGUUAGCAGCUAGAACCCUCUUCUUUCACCAGGAAUGAAGGAGAAUUCCCUGGUUUUUGUCUUCCUCUAGAGAGAGCAGAUUCCUGAUUUUAUGUUCACCAAAAAACAAGCCUCCACUUUUUGUUAGAGCACCAACAACAAGAAAGGAAGAAAGAAACAAUAGGAUUUGGAGCCAAGGAAAAGGAAACAGACAAGCUUGUAUAUUAUCAAUAUAUCUUUCCUCUCAGUUUCAAAUGUCAAAUAUCUCAGGUGAUGACGGAAGCUUCUCUUCAGGAAACGCUGGAGAGGAAGUCCAGCCUCUUGAAGAGAAGCAGCAGAAACAACAGCUGCAAAAUAACUUGACUAGCUCUGGUUCAGGACCUUCUGGUGCUUCUAACAGCAAUGGUUCUACCACUCAACAGCCACAACAAGCAGUUAAGAAGAAAAGAAAUUUACCAGGAACUCCAGGCAAAUCCAUUUACCCUUGAAUCUUUCUUCUAUGCUAAGUUUAUCUAAUUCAGGUGACAUAUAUUUGAUCUUAUAAGAUCAGGUAAGUUCCGAUGAAAUAUUUAACUGAUGUGGUUUUUAGAUUUGAUCCGUGAUUUGAGUUAGAUGCAUGGCUCUGAGUUUUACAUAUUCUUCAAUAGAAGCAUGCAUGUCAAGGUAGAUUUGAUCCAGUUAAGCAGCACAAAAGAACAAGAUUUCUAAUGGGGGUAUCUUCCAAGAAAUAAAUAGCCUUUAGGAAGAAAAGAUUAAUUUCUAAUUUGUUAUAUAAAAGGUUCAAUUAUUGCUAUUAGUUUACAAUAAUUGCCAAGAACUGUUUGCUUGAUUGCACUUUUUACUUCUCUUUUUGUUUUCUGACUGUGUUCUAUUUGGUUAUUGGCUCUUUGGGGUCCAACUGUCCUAGUAAGAAUACAGAACUCUCUUGCUUAGAUUACAAAAACAAUUACUUAAUUCUUUUUUAAAGGUAAAUCUUCUACUACCUCAUGCUCUCAUUGAACAAUUGGUAGUCUUUUGAAAUAGUUGUAUAAUUGUUGCUCGAAUUAGAUCCAAAUGCUGAAGUUAUUGCUCUAUCACCAACAACGCUUAUGGCGACAAAUCGAUUCGUGUGUGAGAUAUGCAACAAAGGGUUCCAAAGGGACCAAAACCUUCAAUUGCACCGAAGAGGUCACAAUCUUCCCUGGAAGCUUAGGCAAAGGAUAACCAGUGAGGUCAAGAAACGAGUCUACAUAUGCCCCGAGCCAACUUGUGUCCACCACAACUCGGCUCGUGCACUAGGGGAUCUUACAGGAAUAAAGAAGCAUUUUAGCCGUAAGCAUGGCGAGAAGAAGUGGAAAUGCGACAAGUGCUCAAAGAAAUAUGCUGUGCAAUCUGAUUGGAAAGCUCAUCAGAAGACCUGUGGUACUAGGGAAUACAAAUGUGAUUGUGGAACCAUCUUUUCAAGGUUUAUAUACUUUAUAUUAGAAUUUUUAAUCAAAUUUAAUGAUUUGCAUCCGCUUUCUGCAUGAAGAACUGAAAUUGAUAUAUAUAUAUAUAUAUAUAUGUAUGUAUGUAUAUGGUAUCCUUUACAAGGUACAUAAAUCUAUAUAUAUAUAUAUAUAUAUAUAUAAAAAUUCAGUGCAAGGUGUUCAAUGAUUAUCUGAUGAUGACUCUAAAGUUUUGCAUUGUUUUACAUGGUAAUUUCAUAACUCUACAGCAAAACUGGAUUUUAUAAAAUUUCUUGUUGGAUGCAGGCUGUCUUGCAUAUAUGUUUUAGAUUAUGCAUUAAUUAUAUCAUCUCUAAGCUCUCCAAAUAAAAGAAAUGUUGGAAAAUAUUGGCCGACAAUUGAUAGGCUUUUUCAUACUUUAGUUUUGACCCCAUUUUUAUUUAUCAUAUUUCAAAAUCUCUCUCUAGAUCAAAAGUACUGUUUCUUAUCAAAAUUUUUAUCCAAUAACAAACCUAAUUUGACCCCACUGCUUAUUCUUUGUGCAGAAAAGACAGCUUCGUCACGCACAGAGCAUUCUGUGACGCAUUAGCUGAAGAAAACAACAAGGUAAACCAAGGACUAAUGAACAACAUCAACAUGGGAUCAAACUUACUAAACCAAAUGCCAGAGCUCAUGUCAUCAAUGCCAAUGAGCAAUGCCAACACAUCUCUGGGAACAUCUGACUUCAACAACAUUGACCCGAAAAACUCGCUCAAAUCCCUUCCCCAAGAGCUAGUGCCAAUGCCGUUUAAGCCUAUGAACAUGGGUGGAGGCAUGUUUUCAAGCAGCUCUGGCACUCUGUUUGGCAGCCAAGGAAGCAUUUCCUCAGCUUCCUCUAGCCUACAACUUAGUUCAAAUAACCCAUCUGGCUUCAAUUAUUUACAAAACAGCAACAAUGCUUGCCAAAUUGACGGGUCGCCCCACGUGUCAGCCACAGCCUUGUUGCAGAAAGCAGCCCAAAUGGGUGCAACUGCAAGUAAUAGUAUAAACUCUCCCAUGAUGCAAAAAAGCUUUCCUAGUAGCAUGGCAGGUCCUGACCAGUCCAUUAGACCAACAUAUUUUGGAGGAAUGCAGCAGCAGAACACAUCUUACGAACACUUUCCAUCACAAACCGAUCAUUCAAGCAUGGUUGGGAUCAACGAGGGAGGGUUCUCUAACCCGCUCAUGCAAAAAAGCCCCAAUGAAAUGGUCCAACUUUUCAAUACUGUGGCAGGAAGCUCAGGAAUGAAUGAUAUGGGAAUUUUCACUAACAUGUUCAUUAAUGGAGCUGACCGAAACCAAGGCUUGAUAAAGAACAUGGAACAUGAAGAUUGUGGCAGUUCUAGCUUAUUACAAGGGAGAACUCAGGCGAUCGAAAGGAACCCACCAGGGCCAGCAAUAUUUGGAGCGAGCAAUGGAGAAAAUAACAUGACGACUCUUGAUUUCAUGGGGAUUGGAGUGUCAAGGCCAGUCAAUUUGCAUGAACAGCAGCAUCAGCAACAAAGAUUAGAAUUGGAAGCAAUAAGCCAACAAAGACUGCCAAUGAUAAACCCUUUUCAGCAACAGCUCUCACAUGGGAAUUCCGCUAUUGCAAAGUCCAUCUGGGAUGUCUGAGAGCCACAGGUUUUUUUGUUACUUUUAUCUGUCAGUUGUCCUUGGAAGAUUUUCUUGCUCUUGUCUGUGACAAUGCUGAGAUGGCCACUCUGGCAUUGGAAACCAAAUGGGGCUCAUGGGGUACACACCAACUUAUCUAUCUUCAAACAAUGGGCCUGACUUUUUAAAUUCAUGAUGACCCAGCGAUAAGUGGGAGUAGACCUCGCGAUUCGUAAAUGAGAAUCAUAAUUAAAUAUUAAAAAUAAUUUUUAUAUAAUAUUAAAUAGUUAAUUAAAUGUUAUAAUUUAAAAAUUAAUAAUUAAAAUAAUUUUUAUAUAUUUAUAUUAAAUUAAAAUAAAUAUAAAAAAUAUAUUAAAUAUGUUACAUGUAUAUUUAUAUGAUAAAAUUAAAUUAAAUAUGUAAUUAAUUGUGUUAUGUGUUUAGACGUAUUAAUAUAUUAAUAAGUAUAAGAUAUAAAUUAUAUUAUAUUAAAAUUCGUAUCGAUAUAAAUAAAUAUAAAAUAUAUUUUUUAAAAUAUAUAAUUUUUUAUAUUAUAUCAUUAUAUUGUAUUUAAAAUUAUCAAAAUUAAGUAAGAGAACCACGUGUCGAUCACGAAAUAACCUAAUCUCACUCUUCGAAGACAUUUUCUUCAAAGUUUAAAACAAACAACAAAUAUGAAACUCCGUUUCCUUUCCACAGCCAAUUUGUACCGAGAAAAAAGAAACGCUGAUACAGACACACUUGGUAAGUAAUGUAAUCCUAAAAUGUAGAACCAGCUUGGGCCACUUUCCAUGGAAAAUGUUUUCCACAUGAAUAUGAAAAAUGAUAAAAAUAAAUAAAAAUUCAGCAGAGACUAUCUGCUUUUACCCCAUCUUUCAAGUCGUAGGAAUCGUACAUAUUCAUCAUACCUAACAUCCGCUUUUACCCUCCCCACCCCAAUUAAAGACUAUCAUUUCCCAACUUUGUCCCACUAGAUGGACUCACAAUGCUAUUGUUUAUUUUCUAUUUUUGAAGUCAAUUUUUGGUGAAAUUAAUUGAAUCCAAUAUUACAUGCUACAUCUGACUAGGAAUCUUAUGAUACCUCACUCUCUUAUCUUCAAAUGAGUACUUAUUGUUUGACCAUUAAUAAUGAGACUAUUAAAAUUUGACUAUUGAUGACGAAAAUUAAAAUUUUAUUAUUUUACCAAUGAAUAACUUAAUUAUUAAAUUAAAAAUUCUUAAUCCCUUUCUCCUCCUAGAAUAUGUUAAAAAUAUUCAUUCUCUAUAGUUAAGUUUCUAUCAUAAAAUUAGAGAUAAUCUUGUUAAAUGAUUGAAUUUUAUAAAAAAAAUGAUAAAAUACAAAAAAUUAUAUUUAUUAGAUUGUACAACGUGAAUAAAACCGUAAGUACCAAAAGCAACUAUGCGAAUGAAAUAAACUCUGGUCAAAUGAGAAGUGAAAAACAAGUGGGCUUAGACUAGGAUGAAGCCGGAGCCCAGAAUUUCAGGAGUCCUUCAAAGCCCAAAUCAGCUAUCUGCCCAUUCUGGUGAACGCAGGGUUAGGCUCGUAAUAAGGCUUGCCCCUUCUAUCCUCUCUCACCAACGGGUUAAAAACCCUAACCCUAAUUUAGAUUUUCUAUUUAUACGCGAUAGCGAAAGCCAACUUCGCAGCCGAAGCCAAAUCUUCGGAUUCGCUUUUUUAUAUAAUUCAAUCAUCUUUUUUAUCUCAAUUUCCUAAUCUUUACUCUUCCUCCCAUAGGCACAUCAGGUUCGGCGUUGAUAAACUUUUGAAGCUUUGAUUUUUUUUUUUUUUAAUUUUCAAUGAUAAAAAAGGGGAGGCGGUGAUGUUGAAAACUACCUAUUUUAUGAAGGGUUUUUCGCCCAUUUUGUGAUUAGAAAAUCACCAAUGGAUCCUUCUGAGCCUUCUUCUCUCAUUUUCUUCCCUCUCAACUCCAAACUUUAGUUUUUGAUGAGAAAGAAAAAUUGAUAGGUUAAUUUUGUUAGAGUCUGAUUUAGAGCCAUUGAGAUGAUGAUAUCCUUUUCUGAAAAAUAUAAUGUCGACUAAAAAAAAUCAGACUACAAUUAUCUGAUCACUUGGCUCUCUAUCUCCCUUUUUCUCUUUAUUUUCGUGUCAAAUUUGUUUUGCUUCUUUUUUCUCUCACUGUUUUGAUAAUAUUUACUUUCAUUUUCAAGGUUUUUCUUUUUUUAAUAUUAUUUAAUCCAUUUUUUUUAAUAAAAGACAAUACAUCUUUUAAGAUAAUUUUUUGUUUCAUUUCGGACGAGUAGAAACGAUAGGAAGAAUAACAAAGAUUUUAUAUCGCGUACAUCACUUAGAUGAACUUUAGAUAGUCGCAUAAAAAAGAAUGAAGAAAUGGAAUAUGAAAGAGAACACAAAAAUAAAUAAAUAAAUAAUAAGGAAUUGGAUUUUAUUCGUACUGUAGCUGUGUUGAGUUUGUUAUUUCUAUCUUUGAACUCUUCUACACCAUAUUUUUGGUGUAUGAAAUAUUAACAUUCUUUUUUAAUGUAAAGAGAAUAAAAAAAAAAAGAACGAUAAUGAAAGUUUUUUUACUGCAUUAUUUAUUAUUUUUAUUACAUUUAAUUAUAAUAGAUUCUUUGCUUAUCAAAAAAAUAGAAAAAAUAAAUAAAUAAAGGAUUUACUUUAAGAUAACUAGUUAGAUAAGUAUGUAUUAUGUUAAUUUAUAUCAAUUAAUUUGUAAAAUAAAUAUUCAUACAAAUUAGUCAUAUGUCGAAAAUCAUAUAUGAACUGAUGAUACGAGGGUUUUCAAUCCUUUGUUCUACCGAGUUAUCUCGAUCAUUAUUGAUGGAUUAUCUUAUAAUACUGGAUGAUUUGGGUUUAUGUCAAUUAAAAAUGAAAACAAAAACAAUGAAAAAAUAUUAAAUUAAAAGGAGAAUUUCUUAGAUAUUUCAAAGGAAGAUUUUGUAAAUUUCAAUAUGAGUAAUCAUUCAA
This 45898-nucleotide long non-coding RNA is filed under the name Durio zibethinus. Lineage: Eukaryota; Viridiplantae; Streptophyta; Magnoliopsida; Malvales; Malvaceae. The record is from RNAcentral.